AAAACAUGAGUUAUAUUGUUAGAUAAACUGAUACAUUAUAUUAACAUGUCUAUCACAUAGAGUAUCAUAUAAAGUAUAUAUAUUAUUAGUUCACUACAUUUAUCUUUAUGGUAAAGAGCAUAUUCUAUUUCGAUAGGGUCAUCUACUAAUAUUAUCAAUAGCUUAUUAUCAUAUCGACAAUUUAUCAUUUAGUAAAGAAGUAUAACUAGAAAUAAACUGAUCGUAAUAUUAUAUAUGCCAUGCGGAUCGUUGUAUAUACAGAAUUAUUGUAAUCCAAUCCAAAUUUUUUUUUUUUUUGGUAUGCUUUAGGUUAAGAGACAAGUAGAAGAUUUAAUUUGGACCAUCGUCUAUGUGACCUGUAUGAAACCCUAAAGAACCUGUUAAGCUUUAAGAUUUGGGACUAUAAAAUAUAUGAACCUGUAUAUAUAUCACGCUUGCCCUCAAAACAUAGGACAUUGAGUUCCCUUGAGGAUUCUGUACAGCACAUUCUUUUUCCUACUUUUUCAUUAAAAUACAAGGCAAAAUGCAUGAUCAAACUUGACCUUGAUUUUCCUUGCUGCUACAAAAUUGCAAAACCUAAUUAUACUGCCGACGAAAGAGAAAAAAAACAAGAAAAACCUGACUUUAUAUAUUUUUAGCAUCUGCAUCAAGAAUUAAGAAUAAAAAUAGAGAAAAAUGUUUCUUUAACAACCGAAGAAACUUUGAGAGUCUCUUAAGUCACUUAAUAGUACGGUUUAGUGAUAAUUUUUUCAUUUGUAAACGAAUGGUCUUGAGUUUGAAUCUCGUAAAAGAUGAGUUCGAUAUCAAAUUAUUCUUGUAAUGCAAAUAUGUUGUAGUAUAAAUAAAAAAAAUAACACAUUGUAGCUAUCUACUCAUGUUGAGAAUAUAGUUACUUAAGUUUGGCUGUUUAGUUUUAGAAACCCUAACCACUGUCUUAACAAUUUCUUAAUUGGAUGAUUAUAUUAUAUUAAACAGGUGACCGACACCUACUAGCUUACAAGAUGACAUUGUUAGCAUCAUUCGAUUUUAAGUUAACAUUUGAACUGUUAGAUAUUUUCCUACUUUUUCCCAAUUAAGCAUGAAAUUUAACACACUUUUGUGAGAAGUCAAUAAUAUUUGCGUGUGGGGAAGAACUAUGCCAACCUUUUAUUAGCAUAUUCAAUCUUGACGGAGCUGGUCCCAUAGGAUAAGUUUUCCUGGAAGACAACAACACAUCAAAGUAGUUUCUAUUUUAGAGAUUGAAUAAAAAUUUUAUUAACAACGACCAAUAAUACAUAAGGUGAACAUGUUAAACGUAAUCAAGAGAUUACAUACGCUAAAUAAAGCAUUACAAAUUUAUAGUUACAAACUCAUGAGCGUCAUACAAUUCCUUAGUUACGAAGGACCCUACCACAAAAAAGAUAAUGCCCUCAAGGACUAAACCUUGCAAAUUGUCGAACUACCGUAAAGGUACCAUGAGAAAAAGACUGCACAGACCUCUGAUGAUCUUGCAACUGUCCGCAAAGAAGCACUGCUAUGAGUCACCUCUAACAAGUAUCAAACUUCCUCUUCACAAUCAUUUGACAUGUGCACAAUACCACACAAGAAACCCAAAACCAACUCCCUCGACUCUGAACAAUAGCCAUCACUCAAAGAUUUGAGUUUGAGCAGUAAGUCAUAGGCGCUACAAAGACUUUCUCAAGAGAGCGAGAGCGAUCAUAACCAAAAAAUAUAGAUAGUCAGAAGAUACGAUAAACAUAAAGGAAAAGGGAAGGAAGAGAUUGUCGCUAAGACCAAACAGGGUCCGCGACGAAGGGUUUUUCUCUCUAUCGGCUAUAUAUCGCAUGAGUUGAAGUUAACACAUGCAAUAAGAAAAUCACUAGCGAAUGCACUACGACUAACUAAACUGAAAUAUUGGUUUUUUCAAUAUUUUGUUUCACAUAAUUUUUUUUGACCUUACGUGGUUAAGAACAGUUAUUCAGGAGUUCUUGGUACCGGCCAAGCAAAAAUAAUAUGAAUAGCGAGCCAUCUACACGAGGCAAAUGCUUGUUCUUAUGCUUUUUUAAUAUAGGGCGGUGACUAACUAAAACAUUGAUUUAUAGAGCCAUAUUUUGCUAAGAUAAAACACACCAUUAAGGCUUGUUUAGUCAGUUGUCUCAAACUGACAAGAAAGGCAGUUGAGAUGUAAACAUGUGAGUUUUUAGGUGGAAGCUUCUAUCAUAUAUAUGUUCACGAUUUAAUAUCGAACUAACUAUAAAUAUAUCGGCAUUGCAUUCAUAUGAGCUGAGCUUAAGACCAGCGAUCAACUAAGUGAAGAUCGGAUGUUGCUUGACCAACUCAUGAUGUGCAUAUUGUUUAUGCUUGAUUCACAUUUUCAUUUUUCUGGAAAAUGAUACGAUAUUCAUUACAAUGAAGAGAAUACAUAAAAAUGAUCAGGUGUAAAAAAUAUCAAUUCGUUAAAACCUUGCUGGGAUUCCUAAACCCUAAUUCACACUUGAGAAAAAGGGUUUUUCUUGUUCUUUCCCCCCAGGAGAUUUUAGGGUUUCUUAAAGUUCAUUUGGGAGUUUGAUUUAGUAAUUGUCAAGGUAUUCCUAAAUCUCAUUGGAUUCUAUUUAAUCAUAUUCCAUGCUUGGGUGACUAAUCUGAACUCUUUUAAACUUUUUAAAGUAGUCUUAAGGGGCCAAAGACAAAGGCUUAUCUUCCAAAGCACUAUUAUCUUAUUCUAUAUUCUCCACUUUAAGCGAAGCCUUGUGCAAUGCUCAAAAACCAAGUGCAAAGUAUAUGAAAUUUGAAAAACGAUUCUGUAUAAGUAAGCUAAUACAAGCUUAGAAUUCGUUAUCAAUCAUUAAAUCAUCCCAUAGAAGUUAUUAUGUGCUAUUUAUACAAAAACACUAAUUUUUUAAAUCGAGCCUUUCACGACAAUCAAAUUGUCAAAUCACAAUGCAUGUUUUGUACUUCCAUACCCUAAUAAUUUAAAGGGGUACCUAUAUACAAGCGUGUUUACAAUACAUACGGUGGAUGACCAGAUUCAAAAACCAAUAAAUUCAAGUACAACAUUUUAAUUAUCAUUUUUGUGGAUGACUCCCUCAUAAUUUAAACUUAAGACAUUUUUUAAUGUUGAGAAGAGAAGUAUCACUAAAUGAAUAGUUGAACGAUAACUUAAUUAGCUCUAUAGUACUAAACAUUGCCAUAUAUGAUCAGGAGUAAGGCAUGAAUUCAGGUGUCUGUACAGGUAGGUUCACAAAACAAAACAAUAAAUGAUGAACAUGGACAACAUGUGAAGUCAUGCAGAUGGAGAUGGACUGUACAUGCAUUGCAGUGAGCAGAUAAUAAUAAUAAUGAAUAGUUUAAGAAGCAGAGACGUGUUAUGUAGUCUAUGUAUCUGAAAUGUGAAGCAAUCUGACAUUUCAACCUAUAGCUAGGUAUAUGAUCGAGUCCUCAGCCUCCUGCAUUCACUGUACCAACCAAUCCUGCUACUGCUAAACAUGAUUGAUCCUGCUCUAAGAAAUGGAACUGGAUCCUCCUUGAGCUCAGGAUGAGGAUCCUUCUGAGCAGUCCAUUCGGACCGUUGAAAUUUAAUCCAACGGCUUCAAAUAGGGGGUUCCUCUAAAAGUUAUAAUAAUUACAGCCGUUGGAUCAAGUUUGAACGGUCCGGAUGGGUUACUCAUGAAGAUCCCCAUCCUGAGCUCAGAAGAGGAUCCAGUUCCCUAAGAAAUGCAAAUGCCGCAAGCUGACAUAUUAGUUGACUAUAAUAUAUACAUACUCUCUCGGUCUUUCACCUAUAGCUAGUAGCUUAUUGGUUCUUGUAUUGUGAAACCCUAAUGAGAUAUUUACUUACAUAACGGGAAGUAAAAAAUCGAGAAACUUAUGAAUAAAAGAAAUGUGGAAUGAGAACUGGAUACAACGUACUACUUUCCUUAGUUGAUGUAAUUAUUGGUUUUGACGAUAUUGGGUUAUAGAUUAUAAGAUGAAAUUCACGUACCUAAUAAAUGCUGAAAAGUCAGGAAUUGUAGUGAUUUACUUUGCUCGAGUACCAAUUCAUGAUAAGUAAUAACAUGCAAUAGGUUAAACAUCGGCCAUCUUGUGAACGAGAGUUUAUACAAACACUUAGGUAUUGUUUGGUAUGCAGAUGGGAUGAGACAAAAUGGAAUCGGAUGGGAUAGGACGGAACGGAACGGACAGGAAGCAAAGAUGUCCUCGGAUGGAAACAAGGAGGAAGAAAAAGGAGACGGAGAGGUUAUAAUUUUGUGUUCCAUGGAUGUGGAACGAGUCGUUCCAGGGGAUGAGGGCGAAUGAAAAUUCACUCAAAAUUAGUCCUGGGAAACAACGCGUUCCACCCGUUUUAGGCGCACCAAACGUGGGACGGAACGUCUCGUUCCCCUUUAUUCCGUCCCGUUCCACGUACCAAACGGUACCUUAAUCAACAGUUACAAAACAAAAAAUCAACUUCAACGGAUCCAUGCCCAUGCACGGUGCACCCAGAUUGCAUUUUCCCCCGAGAAAUAAUUUUCAAUUUUAUUUUCAAAAACAGAUGAUAUAUUAGUAUAUUAUCAGGGGUAUUUUGGGGUCAGGAGCGUAUACAAUUUGGUACGGAGUUGCAGUCUGUUUCCUUGACUAUUCCGACCUACUAAAUUUGAACAUCCCAACCUCAAUGAUUAAAAAAAAAAAUAGAAAUUCACAAAGCUCAAGGAAAGAAAAAUUUGCAAAUUUCAUGAAAUGAUUAAAUAUUCAUAAAUAUGAGAAAUUUUUAAUUAUGAUCGAAAUACGGAUGGUACACCACGUGUUUUUAUGUAAGUGAUGAAAAAUUUUAUUUUUUAAGUUAUUAACUUUUUAACACAUGUAUCCCACCAUUUAUAUAACGACAUGUAACGUAUCAUUCCGUAUGACGAUCACACUACAAAAUCUUUCCAUAACUAGGGCAUCAAAAGGUCUUUGGUUAAUUUGCUGUCCAGUCUGUUCAUUUGACCUUUGAACCCCCCCCUUUUAUGCUUUCCUUUCACAAUUUGUGCUCAACAUUUCUUCAAGGUCACCUGAUUAAUUGUCCCCCAUGUAAUCAUAACCCCUUUUUGUAUUUAAAUACAUUUAUUUUAUUUAAAAAUGGAUGUUUGACUAACAAAAACGUUUUUUGUCGUAAGAAAACGUUGUUAUUUCUUCUUAAAAUAAUGCCAAGAAGGGAAUACGAAUUUGUAAACUCUCAAGUUCACACUUUUUUUUCGUAAUUUGGAAUAUAAUCAUGUUGAACAAAAUAUUAUAAAUUCUCUAGAGAAAAUGAAAAUACCGAAAAUAGGGUCUUGUGUUAAAUGCUAAACCUGAUUAAGUUUCAGAUUGUCUGUCACCCUCGGCACGCAUUUAGACAUCACUAUAAAGGAUUAAAACAAAUAAAAAGAAGGGAAAGAGAGAAAUUUGAAGAAACAGCAAAAGAAAGCUUCAAUUUUUUUCAUGCUUCUGUUUUACUGUAUGUAAUGUUGUAAGGCAGUCUCUCUCUCUCUCCCUCCUCCUCAUCACCUACCACUGACAACUCCACCCCUUCUUAUUAACCCCACCACCACCAUUUGCUCUCUCCAGAAUUCCAUGUGCCUCUUCUCUUCUCCAUUCCCCUUGGACUGCACAGACACACAUUAGCCUCUGUUCUUGUGAGUUGUGAACCCCCAUUUUUGUUUGGAGUUUUUCAAAGGGGCAAGUGCUUGUGGGGAAGAGUGUUGCUCUGCCUCUGUCUCACCAUCUGAGCUUGGAUACAAAAACCUAUUUCCCAAUUGAGAAAACCCAGUAAGGAACCCCACCAAUAUUUACAUUACAAAUAAUGGGAUUGAUUUGGUUCUGUGGCAGCAGCCCCAUUUCCAAGCUGGUUUUUUCUGGGUUCUUUGGAGAUCUAGAAGAUUGAGUUGAAGAAGCCUUUCAAAUUGAAUUUGAAGAAUAAAGGUACCGAUUCAGAAACUUCCAGUGUAUGGAGCCUCUCUAUAUGGUUACUUUUGCUGCAUUUAUAUACAUUAUAUAUAUAUAUAUACAUUAUAUAUAUAUACAUAUAUAUAUAUAUAUAUUCCCUGUUUGUUUGCUGAGCUAAAUGUGGAAACGAUUAGGAAAUGGAGUUUCUGAAGAUUUUACUGUUCUUGUUGUUAACCUGUAGAAUGUUAAAAGUUCAUGCUUGUUUCAACUUUUGUGGGUAAUGUAGAACUGGACUGAGCUAAGCCAAGCGGUUGUUGUAUUAGGCUUAUUGGGUUUCUGCAGUUAUUGGUUUAAUUGGGUUGGGUAAUAAAUGUUUAAAGUUUUGGUCUUUUCGAUUGUGUAUAUAUUGGACAAUAUGGAAUGAUGUGGGAAAUGCAUUAGUUGGUCCUGUUGUUAAUAUGUUUUCACUGUAUGAAAGUGGGUGGAAUUGGAAAGGAGAAAUCUUUGUGCAUUUUUUCCUACUUUUCCUUUGGUUUGUAGUUUGAAUGUCAUAUUGAGGCUGAGUUUGUUUCCGUGAUCACUUUGGUGUUAUGUGAUCUGCGUAGUCUUUGUGAGAUUGUGGAUUGUGGUUGAGUCCGUUUCCCUGACCAUGUUGGUUUUCCGCUCUCUCUCUCUCUCGCACUACAUAUUUGUUUCGUAGCACACUAACUUCUACCGCUUUGUUUACUUUUAUUAUGUUCCCAAUUUGUGAAUAUGUGUUUUGUCUUUGAAAAGAAAAAAAUUGAUGGCAUUGAAAGAGGUGAAAUUUUACAUAGACAAGCAGUUAAAUUCAGUAACAAAAUGGUAGAUAUGCAAAAGAUAGAGUUUUUUAUGCAUGGAAUUGGAGUUUCUAAUUUCUUUGUUUUGAACUCUGCAGGGUCCUUUUUAUCAAGAGUAAAUGGCAUCUGGUCUUGAUACUGUAUUAACCAAGAAGACAUUUGUCUUCGGUUUAAAGGUUUGGGUAUUAACGGGGAUCAUUGUGGGAGUUUUUAUAGUGAUGAUUCUUGCGGUGAUAUCAAUUUGUCUUACUUCGCGAAAGAGAUCCAGAAAGUCUACUGACAUGCUUCCUCUGCGCAGAAUUCCAAAUGAUUCAAAGGAAAUCAAAGAGAUUAGGGUAGAUCAAGCUUGUGCAAAUAACUACGUACCCCGUAGUAGUUCUUUUCUCACCCUUGGCGAUAAAUUCAGUGACAGAGAGUCUGAGAAAGUUUUGAUCCAUAAGAAUGGAGAUGGUAGCAGUCGAUCAGGCUCAUUUAACAAUGGGGAGAAGGAAAAUGUUGGUUCUCAAUCUGGAGAUGAGUGUGGUGCAGCUUAUAUGUAUGAGCCUUCUUCACAGCCUAUAACUGCACCUUCACCUCUAUCUGGUCUACCUGAAUUCUCUCGCCUUGGUUGGGGUCACUGGUUUACAUUAAGGGACCUUGAGUUCGCAACAGGUCGGUUUUCAAAGGAAAAUGUCAUUGGUGAGGGUGGAUAUGGAGUUGUUUAUCGGGGUAAUCUGAUUAAUGGAUCUCCUGUGGCUGUGAAGAAGCUACUCAACAACCUGUAAGAUGCAUCUUAUUUCAGUAGCUUUAUGGAUUUCUGUUUUUUCUAUCUUCUGUUUUCCUUACAAUUCAAUUGCUUGGGCUUAUAACAUAUAUAUUUUCAAUCAUCACACAGAGGACAAGCAGAGAAGGAAUUCAGAGUGGAAGUUGAGGCUAUUGGGCAUGUACGACACAAAAACUUGGUUCGACUUUUGGGAUACUGCAUCGAAGGAACCCACAGGUAUUUCUCUGUAAUUUUAUGUAAUGACUUCUACAUGGUAAAAUACAGGCAGUCAUGUUAUUAUUUGCUGAGCACCUUGUUUGGAUAAAAUAGAGAGUACUAUGUCACAUCCUUAGUUACAUGUAUAAUCCAUUCAUACUUAAAACAUGUGUGUUUUGUUCAGGUUGCUGGUUUAUGAAUAUGUCAACAACGGAAAUUUGGAGCAAUGGCUUCAUGGAGCGAUGCGUCAUCAUGGAUAUCUCACAUGGGAGGCACGCAUGAAAGUUCUCCUUGGCACCGCUAAAGCGUAGGUCUUCCUAUACCUUUGUUUGAGUUUUUCAUCCUUGUGGUUUAUCUUUUUCUGACUCUUUUUUUCACAUAUUUCAGGCUGGCUUAUUUGCAUGAGGCCAUUGAACCCAAAGUUGUGCAUCGAGACAUUAAGUCGAGCAAUAUCUUACUUGAUGAUGAUUUCAAUGCUAAGAUAUCUGAUUUUGGUCUGGCAAAGUUGCUAGGUGCCGGGAAGAGUCAUAUUACAACUAGAGUUAUGGGUACCUUUGGGUGAGUACCUUUUCUCCCUUAGGAACAGUUGCAAUUUCUUGUACGAAGAUUCUUGUGUUGGUAGAAGAACACUAUAUCAUAAUUCUAGAGUAAUCCUUUCUUAUCGGUUCCUUUCAUCAUUCUGUUUUUCAGAUAUGUGGCCCCAGAAUAUGCCAACUCUGGCCUUCUAAAUGAGAAGAGUGAUGUUUAUAGCUUUGGGGUUGUGAUUUUGGAAGCAAUCACUGGAAGAGAUCCGGUGGAUUAUGGUCGGCCAGCACAAGAGGUAUGACAAAAUUGUUACUGUUUUGAAGUGAGAAUUUGGAGAUCAAAUAUGCAUCUUAGUUUUGCAUUCGUAUAUUGAUUAGUUAAGGAUGCAUGUCAUAUUCGAUAAUCUGCUUUUAAAUUCAUUUUAGUUUGCACAGGAAAAUUCUUUGCUUCCGAACAAAUGGAUACCCCAAAAAAACCUUGGAGUUGUUUGAUAUGUUCUGUGACAGCUAACUAUCUUUAUAUCUGCUUCCUUUAGGGGAACAAAAAAGAAGAAAAAGGAAUGAUACCUGUGUAGUAACAGUUGCCCUUACACCUGCUGUGUGCAUCUUGUAGGUAAAUUUGGUGGAUUGGCUCAAGAUGAUGGUUGGAGGCAGGCGUUCAGAAGAGCUGGUAGAUCCGAACAUUGAGACCAAGCCAUCUACGAGUGCCCUUAAACGAGCCCUCUUGACUGCACUGAGGUGUGUAGAUCCAGAUUCUGAUAAAAGGCCUAAGAUGGGUCAAGUGGUUCGCAUGCUUGAAUCGGAGGAGUAUCCCAUACCUCGAGAGGUACGUUUCUGAAAUCAUCUUUGAAAUAACAAUGCUAAACAGACCUUAUAUCCAUUUGACACAAAUAUAGAUUUCAUUCGAAUUUUUGGCUUGCGUGGCUUGUUUUUUCAAUUCAUCUCAUCGUUAUACUCUGAGGAGUUCAUAAGUUGAUCUAUGUAAUGUAACUUGGCUGGAAUUCAGGACCGAAGACGCCGCAGAAGUCAAGCAGGGAACACAGAAGCCGAGUCUCUAAAUUCUGAUACAGAUUGGAGUGAGAAGCCAACUACAAAGACAGAUAGCAGAAGGAACCGUCGAACAUAGGCAAAUGGCGAAUCAAUCAUAGAAAUGCAAGGAAUACAAAUCAAAGGGGACAUGUUACACUCGUUUAAAGCUUUCAUAUUCUUCAGCCUACCAUAGUUGUGAUCAAAGGAAGGAACUGAAACGAGAUAAAGGAAAGGACCAGAACGAAAGGAACUUUUUUUUACUUGUUUUUUUGAAUAUAUAAACCUACUUAUAGGUGUUGAGAGAUGGUUUUUGUGUAUGGAGUGGCACUAGAAGGGGAUGCCUUAGCCAUCGAGUGUGUACAGUUAUCGGUUUUUUCUCUUCCUUUUUUUCUUUAGGUGAUUGUAAUUCAUGAGAUUUUUUCUGAGACAUGCUAAAGUUUACAGGAAGAAACGUUUUUGGCUUGCAUUGUGUGUUUCUACUACCAGCAUUGUGUUAGGUUUACGACCGCGACGGGAGCUUGGUUGAAUGUCAAGCCAUGUUGCCGUGCAUUUGAAGCAAACUGUGAGAUGUGAAACUCAGCACAAGGAAAGGCAGUCAUAUAAUUGCCAAGUUCAAUAUAAGGGUUGCGUGUCAUGUGAUUUUGGAGGCUAAAAUUGCACAUCAUGUGCUUUGAUUUAUUGCUAAGCACGGGAAGGCUAUUUUUCUCCUUUCAUGCUCCCAACUUUUCUUGAGUAAUUGCAGACACACAGUACCAACACAUUUAAUUGUUCGAUUUGAUUUAACGCUCGUUGGUCAUUCAGUUUAAACCGUUGGAUCAAAUCCAAGGCUUUGUAUUUUUACAGAUAGGAUUGAAUAUGGCUAUGCAUUUUUUGUUUUUUUUGUUAUGCUUGGCAAUAUUAACCAGACAACGCUUCAAAUUAAAAUGGUGUUUGAACAUGUUAUCCAACAACCAAAAGGGGUCAUGAGCAUUAUGGGAUGAUUUGUUCCGCCGAAUCCAUGGACUAAACAAAUACGCAUAUGUGAAUUAAGCCAGUUGAAAAAGGCUCCGUGUCUAACCCGUGCAUCCAAGCUCAAAUCACCCUCCUCAUAAAUUAGAAUAAUUUAAAAUAUCAUCUCGCCAAGAAUAAAAACAUAAAUACACUGUUUGGUCCCCUCACAACAAAAAGCUAUAUUCUGCACUAUGUUUGGAAUCUUAUUCUCUGCAAAUUUAUGUGCUGUUCCAGGAGACUAAACAGACACCCAAGAAAAGGUUGUUGAUUUAGAAAAGUCGAAUAAUCCAAGGCUCCAAUAAGGAACUUUUGAACAGGUAACAGAGUCACCGUGAAUUACAUAGGGGAUCAUUAAGAUUUUGAUGAGCAAAAGGAACCGAAGAAUGGUAUGAUCUACAGAAACUGUGUUUACAAAACGAAUCUCAAUAAUGUUGUCUGCACGAACGAUUGACAGGUCGGGAAUCCAGAAGCUUGUUGUUUCAAUGGUGGGGAGCGGACCGAGCAUGCAAAAGAGGCUGUAGAGCCUUGACAACAAUGCUCAUAUUUGGCCGGAAAUCAGCUUCAUAUUGGACGCACAAGGCGGCAACAGCAGCCAACUGUUUCAAGCACACAAAUUGUGAUCAGUGGAUUUGAAGUAAACCAACUGCCUGCCUUUUCAAUUAGUCUAUAACUGGCCAGACCAAAAGUAUGUCGUGUUCUUGUCCAUCCAAUCAACAAUUUAAAGAUAACAUAAUUAUAUAUGUGUGUAACUGUGUAUACAUAUUAAGGAAUCGCAGCAAUGGCAAGUAUUUCUUGGAAUCAAGUAAACUGGUGGUGAAUAAUUACUCAAUGUGUUCCCGAUUACCUUUGCAACUGCCUUGGAAGGGUAUUCUCCAUUGAGUCUAGCAUCAACACACUGCUUCACCUUAUCCUCACUGAGUUUUGGUGUUGCCUAAUAGAAUCAAAAAUUCGAGAAAAAAACUCAGCGAAAUGAAAGAUGAAAACCAGUAACCAAUAAAAUUCUCCGCUUCCACCCGUCCUGAAUGAAUAAAACAAAAGAUGCAAGAACCAAGCAUGAGUUACAAGUAGACAAGAACUAGGAUGAAAUUAGUACCCAUGUCACAAGGCUCUGCUGCCCACGCGGCAAUGUGUGAUCAACAGGUUUACGCCCAGUCAAGAGUUCAAGCAACACUACACCAAAGCUGUAGACAUCACUUUUUGAACUCAGCUGUCCAGUCAUUGCAUAUCUGCCAUUCGGAAUCACAGACAAGAAUUACAAGGGGAUAUAUGCCAAAUCAAAAUUUUGGGCGUACAUCAUAACGUGAUUAUACGGUACAUCAAGGAAGAAAUUACUCUGGAGCAUGAUAACCAAAAGUCCCAAGAACACGAGUAGAAUGAAGACGUGCUGCCAUAUCAGGUGCUUGAUUUGACAGAUCAAAAUCAGCAAUCUUUGCAACAUCAUCAUCAAAAAGCAGUAUAUUGCAGGACUUAAUAUCACGAUGGAUUAUAUGAGGCUGCGCCUUUUCAUGUAGAUAUUCAAGUCCUCUCGCUGCUCCUACAGCAAUUUUAACCCUUUGUACCCAUGACAGAACCGGACCUGGCUGUGCUCCCUUAACACCUUUCCGACCUAUAGCCACAUAAAGAGAAACAAAUUUCUAUUAGCAUAGAGAUGAAGGCGAUCUUACUAAUUAUCAAAGAGAUAAAGCUCAAAAAUUUGCAGCUGAUGAGCAAUUUUCUAUUGUUUGGAGGCCAACCCGCUCGUUUCGCAGAUUACAUGAAACACUAGGCGUCAUUAAACACAAACAACUAUCAUCAACUAAUUGACCUUCAACCUAUAAGUUAUUAAGCCUCAUUCAAAAUUUGUAAACCAAAAAAAAAUUCUGUGUGCAUAAAGCUUCACUAAAAAAAGAUCUAUGUGGUACUUGAUUAAAAAUUUACAACUUUUGGAGGCUGUAAAUAACACCACACGAUAGGAAUGUGGAAAUGUUACUUACCAUGGAGAAUAUCAUGAAGGGACCCCUUAGGAGCAUACUCAUAGGCAAGGAGACGGAGAGGGCCAUCAAUACAAUAACCAACAAGCUCGACAGCAUUCUCAUGUUUUAGUCUUGAAACCAUGGAGACCUGUAAAUUUAUGCUCCAAGCAUUAAAUAAAUUUGAGUAUCAAAUAGCGUACCAUGUCAAGUAUCAAACACAAAACAUUCCGCAGACUUAACCUGCGAUAAGAAUUCUCGCUCCGGUUGUUUACUGGAGUCUAACUUCUUAAUAGCUGCAGCAGGCCCACUUUUCAGAACACCAUGAUAUACUCUUCCAUAUGAACCCUCACCGAUUAAAGAUUUCGUGCCAAAGUUAUCUGUCAAAUCUUUCAAUUCAUCCACUGGAAUGGCAGCGACAGCGAUGGGGAGGAUAUUUACAACCUGAGUAUCCUUGGGUGCAGCUUCUUUCUGAUAGUAACCUCCACUAUUGCCUAAAUUUCAAAUGUCGAGUUUUGCAUCAAUCAAACAAUAAGCCGUAAACAGUGGAUAUCUAAAAUCAAAUGGCAUAGAAGUUGACCUGACUAAUUCCAACUGAAAAAGUAAUGGAAUAUGUCAUUAUUAUCAAUGCACUCAGAAUAAGAACAUCGUAUAUAUACACCCACGCGGUACCUGCUGAGUGAUUUGUCACAUGCGGUCGAGUCUCAGAAGCUUUACGGACAUCAUCUUGUACACAACAACUGAAGCAGCUCAUGAUGUUUUUAUCUGAAGAAACAGUUGAAAACCAUCUUAAGCAAUCUUACGUUGACAGACCGCGGGCGAUAAAAUUUAUCUAACAAAGAUCAAUGGUUUCUGGAUAGUUAUAAAGUCUGGCUUAAUUUCAGACUAGUUCAAUCUGUUAUAAGUUACUAAAACCUCAAUGAAUUAACAUGCUUUAUUCUAAAUCAAUGUUAUUCAAACAAGAGAAACGAUGAAGAAGCACUUGGAUAUCACCCAAAAAAUUAAAAAAACACAACCAAAAAUCUGUAUCAAAAGUUAAAUCCAUCAAUUUAUUCAUUUCACAAAUUAAACCAAAUCAAAGUAAAAAUUCAAAAUUCCCAUUUAAGAUCCAUCAACAAGGAGAGAUUCAUUUUUACAACAGAACAUAAAAUUCAAAGCUUUCUAUUUCUACAUGUUCCUCUUGAGUCCUGUCUCAAAAAAACAAAACAGAUACACAAUAAAUCAAAAGAAAAAGAAGCCACAAUUAGAAAAAAGUGCAUCUAAAACAAAUAAAUUUACAAAAAAUAAAAAAUAAAAAAAAAGUAGCAGAAUUGUGGGGGAAUGAUAUCUCUCACCUUGGUAUGUUUAUAUGGUUCUUCUGGCAAUUGGGUUUUUUGAGUUUUGAGUCAAGUGUUGGGAUUGGAGUGAUGAGAGUGAUCAGGCCGGCUAUGGAGGCCCGCAGGAGAGGGAGAGGGGAAGGAGGCGCACGUCAGCAAUGUACAGAAGGCAUGCAAAUGGGGAGGUUGGGAUGUCUGUCUGUCUCUCUGUCUCUCUGUUCUGGCUUUGACUUACGUUAGAAGAGAGGACACAAAGACAACAACCGAAUUUUGUGUUUCCACUCUUAAACUCCUCGGUCUUCACGAUCUUCUGCGCAUUUCGAAACUGUCAAAAACCAGUUGGGAUGUUAAAUCUUUUUAAUUUUUUUUUUAAUUUGAUAUAAAUAUCUCUUCACUCAAUUGCGUUCUUAGUUUAAGUUCUCUGAUUUAUUUUUAAGUGUGCAUUAACGUAAGAUAUCGCUUCUAAACAGUACAAGUAACAACGCCAUUUACAGUUAUUAAUUAAAAUUUUAAUAAAUAAAAAUAAUAGUGCUGUUUUCUAAAAAAGUAAAACAUCAAAAGUAUUAAUCAUACUAAAAACUAACAUUUGUCUACAUACUUUGUAUGUAUGUACAUAUUUUUUUUUUAGAAAAUAAGAAGGAGAGAGAAAGCGUGUAGGGUGAGAGAUUUUUGUUUUUGAUUUUGAUUUUUUGAUUUUUUGAUUUUUUUUAAAUAUUGAAGGUAUUUUAACAUCACAUGUAGGUGAUGUUUUAAUAAAAAAUAAUAAAAUUUGGACCUAUGAAAUUACAUUAUUGCCUAUCUUUUUUUUUGGUGUCAUAGAAGACUAAUUUAUCUUUUCACUCUCUUUUGAUUGACAAAGAGAGUUUUAUUAAUUAGUAGAAAUAUUAAGGCCAUCUCCAACCGAUGGCUGGCCAGAUGGCUCGUCUCAGCCCUCUGGCCCUCCAAGAUUCUCCAAGAUAUUAAUAAAAGGGGAUGAAUAGUGAGAACAAGUUCAACCCAAAAAAGAAAAGCAAUAGAAAAAAAAGAAAACUAAUGAAAAAUGUUUGAAAACUUUGAGUUUUAACGAUAAGGGUGAAAUAAAGAUUAAAGUGAAUAGUACUAAUAUUGACUUUUUAGUGUAAAAAUAUUAUUUUUUAUUAAAGUAAACAGUACCGGAAACUUUUCGUUAAAGUUCUUAAAAAAAAAAAGAUGAAAACCCAGUUGACGUGUUAUUUUGAUGAAAGUGGCUGGCACAUUGUUUGUAUAUAUUACUCACGUACUUUCUAUACAUAUUAAACUACAUAAAGCAGAGCAAAGCAAUUAUUCCUCUCCAAAAUUCUUCUACCCAAUCUCAGUUUAUAUGUGCAUGUUACGCCUCGUUGCAACGUCAUCUUGAGUCAUGGGUUGUUCAUUUAGAUUAGUAAAUUAUUUCGCUCCUUAGAGGUGUGCGAUGCAAGAAGAUUUGUAACUAACUCGUUUAAUUACGAAUAUUUACAUUUGCAUCGGAUGAUUUACGGUAUUAAGUUCAAACCUCUCCUUGACUCUUGUCCUUUGAUUUUAAUAUAUGUUAAUUCCAGAUUAAAUUAUGUUAAUGUGAUUUGCAUUACAUUUUUAUAUGCACCGCCGUUUUGAAGAUGUGGAUUCUGGAGGGAUUGUUCCUCUGUGUAAGUAUGUCUUAAUGGGCUUUUAAAUUUAGAUGCUUUGUUAGAUAAUUUUUCAUUGUGGCUGAAACGUUAAAGCGUACUCCAUAUAUUAUUAUACAAUUAGAAGGACAUUUAAAAAAAAAAAACUUUCUACUGAUGACAUGUGAUGUAUUGUACUAUGUUCUAAAUAUGCUGAAAAAUUUCUCGCCUCAUUGACCGUUUUCAUUGACUAAACAUCGAUUUCUUUUAAACUUUUGAUUAAAAUGCUUUUUUCUAGUUAAUUAAGCCAUUUUAUGUACAAAAUUACACUUAUGAUAUAUUUUCUUUGUCAAAAGAUAAAGUUUUAUUGAAUUCCAAUAUAAACGUUUUCAUUUUCAGCAAGAAUAUUAAAAAAAAAUCUGGAUCAAGAACAUCCCACCGGAAAUCACCUCCAUGCGAGGUAACAUAUGAGGCUACAGCAUCCAUAACGACAUUUCCUUUUCGCUUUACAUACAAAAACCUCACCUCUCCUUGUUGAGACACCAAACAUAUAAUGUCACGAAUAAAACAUUCCAAACUAGCAUCUAUAGAAUACGCUUCUUGAAGCAUUCGAAUCAACGACUGAGAAUCAGAUUCGAUUUCCACCAACGCAGCACGAAUCGCCGCAGCUUCAGCCAUAGCCGCGUUGUUGAAGAAUAAACCCCCUGCGCCACCCGCCAUUUGCAACAACCCUGCGAAAUCCCUCAUAACCCAUCUGUAUCCUCCCUGUAAAGACUUCCCACACCAGGCACCGUCACAAUUAACCUUUAGUACACCAUAGGUGGGCCUCCUCCACCGUACCUGCUGCUCAGCAAAAAUAGCACCAUUCGUUUCCACAUAGGAGUCAGCAGCCUGCUGAUUGGUAAUAUGGCAUGCUUUAAAUUCUAGGAGUAGAUGCCGCACCAAAUUAACCCCAUCCAUAGGAUUAAUUAAUGUACCUUUGAAAACCAUUGCAUUUCGACUCUUCCAGAUUCUCCACUAGACAAACACGCACUCCUGCAAAAGAAGACAUACCAUUGCUAAAUGAAAACGUACCAAUGCCAAAUUAAAAUAUAUCGACGCUAAAUCAAAAUGUAUUGAUGCGAGGUGAAUAAGUCUCAACACAAAAUGAAAACGGUCAAAUUAAAAUGUAUCGACCAAAUUUAUUUACCGGUAUUAGACAAAGUACGGACCUAAUUUAUUUACCCGUUCUAUACAUGUCACUUCAAGUAAUGCUUAGAAAGUACAUGCCUACUAACACACAAUUAACUUUAUAAAUUAAAUAUGAAAAUAGACGUACAAAUCAACAAUAUUAAUAAAAUCGCUUUGAAAAAUAUGUAUAAAGUUAAAUUGAUUAUAGAAACAAACGUACCAAUCAACAAUAUGAGUAAAAUUGCUUUAAAAAAUAAUAUAUAUAUAUAUAUAUAUAUAAUCAAACGAUUGUGGUGGCACUAGUGGCGGUUGUGACAUUCGCUAAAUUGCUCCGGUCAUUAGUAUGGAUAAGUAUGUAAAUGGAUAGAGAUAGGGAAGCAAACUCAAGAUGUAUGUGGUUCACCCAGAUUGGCUACGUCCACGGAGUAGAGGAGUUCUCAUUAGUUGUGAAGGGUUUACACAAGUACAUAGGUUCAAGCUCUCUUUUAGUGAGUACAAGUGAAUGAUUUAGUACAAAUGACAUUAGGGAAUAUUGUGAGAGAAUGAUCUCUAUUUAUAGAAGAGAGUUUCUAGUUUCAUUCUGACUUUGACACGUGUCGUGUUGUGAUUGGCUUCUGAUGUUGACACGUGUCGCGAUAUGAUUGGCUUCUGAUGUCGACACGUGUCGCGCUGUGAUUAGCCUCCUGGUUGGAGGGAAACUCUUCUAGGUCCUUGAUAGUAUAACGUUGACCCGUGCUCAGUAGUUUCGGGAUUGGUCAAGUAUGGUACAAACAGUGCUCCCCUAAGUUCCUGAGUGAGGGAAGCUCCUCGGUUGGGGACUUGCAAGAUCCAAGCCAUUGAGUAAUCACGAAACUUCUAAGUACCGAAGUGUGGUAUCAUUUUCACUUGUCUUAUCUGUCUCAUACGUAGAUGUGGCAUCUUCUCUGGAAGUACUUUUCCUCCAUCCAGGGGUGAUAUCUUUAACCGAUGAAGAUGCACAAGGUAAUGUAUCAAUUUCACUUGAAGCUUACUUGUAGUUUUGGGCUUGGUCAAAUGCGAUACAAAACCCUAUAGUAGGAGCCCCCCAAGUCGCCGAGCUAGGAGAUUUGCCGAAUGAGGUAACAGACAAGGUAAGCAAUCAGACUUCCAAGCAAGCAACCUGGAUCGGAGGUUCGUCUUCGGAUUCCGGUUGAUUGUUCUUCUUCUCCUUAUGUCGUAAACAACAACAAGGAUAAGGAGAAGCAAAUGGAGAAUAGAUGAUAUGAGAUACUUUUACUUUUGAAGAAGUAUUUUUCCACAUGCGUAUUCUUGAACUGGGCUGGAGGGUUUUCUAGUUUCUUUCAGAGUAUAAGGCUAACUCAAGAAUUUGAGGGUCAAAACAAGUCCAUCAAAUCUAGAGUACGUUUGACCUUGAUGAUAUGUGAUACUUUUGUUGUUGACAAAGUAGUGGAUGUAUCGACACGUGUUCUGUUACGCUUGUCUCCACAUGCUUCCUUGUAUCCUUCUCACUUGCCCUAUCUGUUCCUCAGGCAGAUGUGGUAUCUUCUAUGGAAGCAUAAGAUGUUGAAGAUGAGUACUCGAGAGCAAUGUCAGGUAAGUAAUCAGGCAAGGGGUUCCAGGCAGUCAGUUCCUGACUGGAAGCUUGAUUCCAAGUGCUGACUGAUUGCUCUCUUUCUCCUUGUCUUGCAGGUAAGAACAAUGCCAAAGGAAAAGACAGGGAAAAAGCAUGAUAUGGGAUACUCUUGCUUUUAACCCUGAUGAUAUGAGGUACUCUUGCUCUGGUGUGGCUUGUUUGCAUAGGUAUUAUCGGGAGGAAAAGAAGCUGAGUAUUUCGAGAGACUUUGCUGAGAGUGCCCUCUCGGAUGUGAAGAAAAGUUGAGCAUUUUUUUUAUUUGCAGGUCUGCCUAGCUGUGGAGGAUGGAGGUCGACAUAUAUAGGAGUCUCCUUAACAACAAGUAGUAGUGCUAUUCAUUUACCCUUCUUGGUCAUAGCAAUGUAGUGGGAGCUGCAAGCUUCACGUGUUUUAACUUUGUCAAAGCACUUUGAAAAAGUGGUCUGUGGUAUCUGGAAAGCUGAUGUUGCGUGUGAAGAUUGCAGACAAGCUUUAUCCAAGGAAAUCAGGCUCUCGAAGUUCGGAGAGCGGUGCCUCUUCGGUUUUCGAACAGGCAAUCUUGUCAAGGAUCUGGCUUUCGAGAUUCAGAGAACGGUGCUUCUUCAAUUUUUGAGAACGCAAUCCUGUUUGGGGUCUAACUCUUGAGAUUUGGAGAGCAGUGUCUCUUCGAUUUUUGAGAAAGUAAUCAUGUUGGGAGUCUGGCUCUCGAGAUUCGGAUGGCGGUGCCUCUUCAAUUUUUUAGCACAUAAUCCUGUUGGGAGUCUGGCUCUCGAGAUUUGGAGAGCGGUGCCUCUUCGAUUUUUGAGAAAGCAAUCAUGUUGGGAGUCUAACUCUUGAGAUUCGGAUAGCAGUGUCUCUUCAAUUUUUUGAGAAAGUAAUCCAGUUGGGAGUCUGGCUCUCGAGAUUCGGAGGGCGGUGCCUCUUCGAUUUUUGAGCACGUAAUCCUGUUGGGAGUUUGGCUCUCGAGAUUCGGAAAGCGGUGCCUCUUCGAUUUUUGAGCAAGUAAUCUUAUUAGGAAUGUUUUCUCGAAUGUGAGUAAAGGUUGGGCAUUUUUGCCAGUUUGCCUUGCCACGGAGCACGGAAGUUGACACACAUUGGGACUUUCUACUUAUCAAGGAGUGGAGCUGUUCCUUUACCCUUGUGGGUAAUAGUAGGGUAGCUGGACCUUCAAAAUUUAUGUGUCUAAACUUUGUCAGAGAUUUUUGGCAAAGUUAUAUAUGGUACCCGAGAAACUGAUGUUGCGUGUGGAAAGUGGUGCCACUUCAAUUUUUGAACCAAUUACCCUAUUGCCCUUUCUUUUAUAAGGGCACCAAUUGUGUGCAAGGAGUACAUUCAGAGAGUUAUUGCUUGUAGGAAUUUUCCCCUUACUUCAGAGAUUUCUUUCACCUAAUUUUUCCUUCAUCAUUUCUGAGAAUGUCUGACCCAUAUAACCGUCGUUUUGACUUGAACUUUGGUGAAGAGGUAGCCAUACCUUCUCAAGACAACAUAUAACGGCCAUCUUUCUUAUCCUCUACUGGUCCUCUUACCGUUGGAGACUCUGUGAUGAAGAAUGAUAUGACCGCUGCGGUGGUGGCCAAGAACCUUGUUACUCCCAAAGAUAACAAACUACUUUCCAAACGGUCUGAUGAGUUGGCUGUUAAGAAUUCUCUGGCUCUUAGUGUUCAGUGUGCAGGUUCUGUGUCUAAUAUGGCCCAACGCCUAUUUGCUUGAACCCACCAAGUUGAAUCAUUAGCGACUGAAGUGAUAAGUCUCAAACAGAAGAUCAGAGGGCUCAGGCAUGAGAAUAAACAGUUGCACAGGCUUGCACAUAACUAUGCUACAAACAUGAAGAGGAAGCUCGACCAGCUGCAGGAAUCUGAUGGUCAGAUUUUAGUUGAUCAUUAGAGGUUUGUGAGUUUGUUCCAAAUGCAUUUAUUGCCUUUGUCUUCUGGGGCUGUACCGCGUAAUGAAGCUCCAAAUAAUCAACCUUUGGUGCCUCCUCCUUUUGGGAUUCUGCCUAGUACCGAGGCUCCGAAUAAUCAUCCUAUGGUGCCUCCUCUUUUUAGGGCUAUGUCGAUUGCUAAGACUUCUCCUGAGCAACCUUUGUGAAGGCUCCCUCUUAUUUGUUUAUUUUGAUUCAUGUAUAUGUACAUAUUUGUAAUUUAUCGGAGAUAUCAAUAAACAAGUUUUGCUUCAUUUCAACGUAUUGUGUUAAAUACAUCAAGGCCUUCUUCACUUAGUUCUUUGAAUUUUUCCUUUUGUUGAAACUUGUAUGUUGAAGCUUUGUGAGUGAAGCAUGUAGGUUGAGGUAGUGCUCCCCUAAUUUUCCGAGUGAGGAAAACUUCUCUUUUGGAAACUUGAAAAAUUCAAGUCACUGAGUGGUCGUGAGACUUCCGAGUAUCAAGGUGCAGUAGCAUAUGGUAGGAGUCCCCCAAGUUUCCGGUCGAAGUAGUUGACGAAUGAGGCAUUUCCUUUCUAAGUGGUAGCUCAAAACUCCUUCUUCAUAUAUAUUUGUUAUGAAAGUUGUUAGACUCAUAGAAUAGGAGGCCUAGGCAAUUUUUAUUUUAUUUUUUUGAAUUUUUUUUUUUCGAUUUUUUUUCGAAUUUUUGAAUUUCCAAAAUUUUGAAUUUUUGAAUUUUUGAAUUUCUGAAAAUAUAUAUAUAUAUAUAUAUAUAUAUUUUUUUUUUAAAGCUUUGUAAGUGAAGCUUUGGUGUUGAAGCUUUGAGGUUGAAGCUUUGUUGGGCACCAUGAAUUGAUUUUGCUUCACACUAUCUUGAUCAAGAUAGUGUGAAACUUUUGUAGGUGAAGCUUUUGUAUUGAAGCUUUGUAGGUAAAGCUUUUGUAUUGAAGUUUUGUAAGUGAAGUUUUUGUGGGUGAAGUUUUUGUGGGUCAAGCUUUUGUAGGUGAAGCUUUUGUAUUGAAGCUUUGUAAGUGAAGUUUUUGUGGGUGAAGUUUUUGUGGGUCAAGCUUUUGUAGGUGAAGCUUUUAUGGGUCAAGCUUUUGUAGGUCAAGCUUUUGUAGGUCAAGCUUUUAUGGGUCAAGUUUUUGUGGGUCAAGCUUUUGUGGGUGAAGCUUUUGUAGGUGAAGCUUUUGUGGGUGAAGCUUUUGUGGGUGAAGCUUUUGUGGGUGAAGCUUUUGUGGGUGAAGCUUUUGUAGGUCAAGCUUUUAUGGGUCAAGCUUUUGUGGGUCAAGCUUUUGUAGGUGAAGCUUUUGUGUUGAAGCUUGCUUUUGUGGGUGAAGCUUUUGUAGGUGAAGCUUUGAAGUUGAAGCUUUUGUUGGGUACCAUGAAUUGAUUUUGCUUCACACUAUUUUCAUCAAGAUAGUGUGAAGCUUUUGAGAAUUUGUAGUUGUCCUCCAUUGAUGAAGCUUUGGAGUUGAAGUUUUAUAGGUGAAGCUUUGGAGUUGAAACUUUUGUUGGGUACCAUGAAUUGAUUUUGCUUCACACUAUCUUGAUUAAGAUAGUGUAAAGCUUUUGAGAAUUUGUAGUUGUCCUCCAUUGAUGAAGCUUUGUUGAAUUUCCACACUGUUGAGCAAGAGAUUGUGAUGCAAGCCACACCUUGUAUUAGUCGAAGGUUUGGAUGAACCAUAUAAAUUGAAUUUGCUUCGAAGGUCUAAGAAUUGUAGUUGCCCUCCAUUGAUGAAGCUUUUGUUGGCACCAUAAAUUGGUUUUGCUUCACACUGUCAUGAUCAAGAGUGUGUGAAGCUUUUGAGAAUUGUGGUUGAACUCCUUUGGUGAAGCUUUUUUUGGCACCAUAAAUUAGUUUUGCUUCACACUGUCUUGAUCAAGAGUGUGUGAAGCUUUUGAGAAUUGUGGUUGCCCUUCAUUGAUGGAGCUCUUGUUGGCACCAUAAAUUGGUUUUGUUUCACACUGUCUUGAUCAAGAGUGUGUGAAGCUUUUGAGAAUUGUGGUUGAACUCCUUUGAUGAAGCUCUUGUUGGCACCAUAAAUUGGUUUUGCUUCACACUGUCUUGAUCAAGAGUGUGUGAAGUUUUUGAAAAUUGUGGUUACCCUCCAUUGAUGAAGCUCUUGCUGUUGGCACCAUAAAUUGGUUUUGCUUCACACUGUCUUGAUCAAGAGUGUGUGAAGCUUUUGAGAAUUGUGGUUGCCCUCUAUUGAUGAAGCUUUUGUUGUCACCAUAAAUUGGUUUUGCUUCACACUGUCUUGAUCAAGAGUGUGUGAAGUUUUUAAGACUUGUGGUUGAACUCCUUUGAUGAAGCUCUUGUUGGCACCAUAAAUUAGUUUUGCUUCACACUAUCUUGAUCAAGAGUGUGUGAAGCUUUUGAGAAUUGUGGUUGCCCUCUAUUGAUGAAACUCUUGUUGGCACCACAAAAGCUUGACCCACGAGGCUUAUGUAUUGAUGAAGCUCUUGAUGCAUAAAAUCAGUGAGGACUUUGGUACAACAUAAAGUGUUAAGUUUGUGACAUUCGCUAGAUUGCUCCGGUCACUAGUAUGGAUAAGUAUGUAAAUGGAUAGAGAUAGGGAAGCAAACACAAGAUGUACGUGGUUCACCCAAAUUGGCUACGUCCACGGAGUAGAGGAGUUCUCAUUAAUUGGGAAGGGUUUACACAAGUACAUAGGUUCAAGCUCUCCUUUAAUGAGUACUAGUGAAUGAUUUAGUACAAAUGACAUUAGGGAAUAUUGUGAGAGAAUGAUCUCUAUUUAUAGAAGAUAGUUUCUAAUUUCAUUCUGAUAUUGACACGUGUCGUGUUGUGAUUGGCUUCUGAUGUUGACACAUGUCGCGCUAUGAUUGGCUUCUGAUGUCGACAUGUGUCGCGCUGUGAUUGGCCUCCUGGUUGGAGAGAAACUCUUCUGGGUCCUUGAUGGUAUAACGUUGACCGGUACUCAGUAGUUUCGGGAUUGGUCAAGUAUGGUACAAAUAAAAACAAUACCAAACGAAGCAUAAAACCUAUUAACAAGAAGUUGAGGAAUCUAAUUUCCUCAUGUCUUAAUUAGCAUCUUAACACUAAUUAGCUCGCAAAGAUUUGACUAAUAUACAUAACAAUAAUCAAUCUAACCGAUGAAGAAGCCAUGAAGCCACUCUUCAAUGUUGACCUUCUCCUCCACGUCAAAUUCUCAAUGUUAACAAUAGGUCUUAGUUCAAUUGCGAGAAUAUUCAUGGCUGAAGCGACCGGCAUACUCUCGUAGUGACUCGUCCGGCUUCUGGCAAAUAGUGUACAAGUAAUCUGCAGAAUGCAAGUGAUCGAUCUGGAAGAUGUGUUGAGAGACAAACAGUUUCCUUAAUUCCUCAAAUGAGUCUACUGUCUCAGGUGGAAUACGGCAAUACCAGUUUAGAGCUCCGCCAGAAAUAGUGGAGGGGAAGAGAAGACAUCGCUCUUCGUCGGUGUGCAUUCGAUAUGCCAUGGUGGACUCAAAGAGGUUAAAGUGUUCAAUUAGGUCCUCCCUUCCUGUAUAGAGUUGUAAACCAAGCUUUUGUUUUGUCUUCGCUUGAAGGGGCGUGUCGAUGAUCCUUCUUAUGAGAAGGCCAAGCCUGGGUUGGUUCCAGUCAGGUAUCUCGGCCUAACGUUUGGCAUUCAACUUGUUUACUUCCUCAAGGAGCUGUAGGGCAAUGGGGUCCUGAGUGGAGUCAUGUGUCACUGGAAUUUUCUUUCGUAAGUCUUCAUCGCCUCUUGGAAGUAGGAAAGUUUAAGCAAUGACGUGUGGUUUUUUCAUGGACUCGCUGUACUGACUUUUAGGGCAAGUAUGUCGGAAUACCUCAGAGUCCCCCAUACCUUCAUGUUCCUCUGGGACCAGUCAUUCCUUCCCUAGAUUGGCAGUUGGCCUGGGUCGUGGGAGGGGAUCGAGUCUUUCAGAAACCCUUGGGUCAUUGAUUUUCGAGCAUAUGUGGAGGGGAUUUUUUCGACGUUGCUUUAGGAAGUCUCGGCAGUCACGAUAAAUGGUUUUCGAUCCUUCCAACCUUUCUGCAAGGAGGUGUCUUCCUCCACUUUUUCUACUUCGGGUCGAAGCAUCUGGGUUGAAAGAAGUCUCAUGUUGAUCAAUGUUUUGAUGAUUAGCUCGCUCCUCAUCAGGGAUACCCAUGUCGAAUGGAGGUGACCCUCCGUGUUGGGGGGCACCCAGAUGAUAGUUGAUGUCCAUAGGGGUAACGAGCUUCCGUGUUUGAGUACGCUUAGUUUCGUGGAGUGUCUUAAAGAGCUUCUCAUACUGCUCCUGGAGGACCUCAUUCUUCAUUUCUAUCUUGUUGUUCUAAGCUUUUAGCUCAUCGACUUUAGCUUGAAAAGCAACCAUCUUUCCUUCAUUCUUUCGUUUCUUCGCACUAGGUGCAAGAGGGGUGUCAUUCUAUGUGCUGUGGCUUCCUUCGCUCCCCAUGUUGGAAAGGGAUGCCUGGUCAAAAUAGAGUGUACGAAUGGUGGAAACCAGCUUGGCAAAGCUGAAGAGAGUGGGAAUAAGUGUCGUUCCCACAGACAGCGCCAAAUGUUGAUACACAAAAUCAGCGAGGACUUUGGUACAACAAAAAGUGUUAAGUUUGUGACAUUCGCUAGAUUGCUCCGAUCAUUAGUGUGGAUAAGUAAGUAAAUGGAUAGGGACAGGGAAGCAAACACAAGAUGUACGUGGUUCACCCAGAUUGGCUACGUCCACGGAGUAGAGGAGUUCUCAUUAAUUGUGAAAGGUUUACACAAGUACAUAGGUUCAAGCUCUCCUUUAGUGAGUACUAGUGAAUGAUUUGGUACAAAUGACAUUAGGAAAUAUUGUGAGAGAAUGAUCUCUAUUUAUAGAAGAGAGUUUCUAGUUUCAUUCUGACUUUGACACGUGUCGUGUUGUGAUUGGCUUCUGAUGUUGACACGUAUCGCGCUAUGAUUGGCUUCUGAUGUCGACACGUGUCGCACUGUGAUUGGCCUCCUGGUUGGAGGAAAACUCUUCUGGGUCAUUGACGGUAUAAUGUUGACUGGUGCUCAGUAGUUUCGGGAUUGGUCAAGUAUGGUACAAACACAAAAUGUAUUGAUGCUAGGUGAAUAAGUCGCAACACAAAAUGAAAACGGACCAAUGCCAAAUUAAAAUGUAUCGACCAAAUUUAUUUAUUGGUACUAGAUAAAGUACGGACCCAAUUUAUUUACCCAUUCUAUACAUGCCACUUCAAGUAAUGCUUAGAAAGUACAUGCCUACUAACACACAAUUAACUUUAUAAAUUAAAUAUGAAAAUAAAUGUACCAAUCAACAAUAUUAAUAAAAUCGCUUUGAAAAAAAUGUAUAAAGUUAAAUUGAAUAUAGAAAUAAACGUACCAAUCAACAAUAUGAGUAAAAUUGCUUUAAAAAAAUAAUAUAUAUAUAUAUAUAUAUAAUCAAACGAUUGUGGUGGCACUAGUGGCGGUUGUGGUGGCAGUUGUGACGAUUGUGGUGGCGGUGCAGUGGUGGUGGUGGUGGCAGUGGCGGUGAUGUAAGGUUAGUGUUUAUAGUGGUAAGUGGUGGCAAUCAUUUUAUUCUCCAAGGAUUAAAUGUGUGUAGAAGGAUAAAAUAUGUUAUUUUAAAAAACUAAUGAAGGUAUUACAAGAAUUGAAAAUUUUCAUUAAAUGCUCAAUUCCUUUUAAAAACAACCUAUAUGCUUCUUUUAAAAAUUGUUGUAUGGAGACUAUUGUUUUUAAAAUAAACAGAAUAUUUUAUUUUUACCAAACACUUUUUACUGCUUAACUAUAAAUGAAACAAAUUUCGAUAAAAAAAAAACAACACCAAACGAAGCAUAAAACCUAUUAACAAGAAGUGGAGGAGUCUAAUUUCCUCAUGUCUUAAUUAGCAUCUUAACACUAAUUAGCUCGCAAAUAUUUGACUAAUAUACAUAACAAUAAUCAAUCUAACCGAUAAAGAAGCCAUGAAGCCACUCUUCAAUGUUGACCUUCUCAUCCACGUCAAAUUCUCGAUGUUAACAAUAGGCCUUAGUUCAACAAUGAGCAUAUAUUAUUCCGUUAUACUUUCAAAACCAAUAUGAACUCAAACAUUCGGCUAAAAUACACCUCAUAUUCGAACAAUAUAUUUUGUUAAUUGUGAAAGGUGAUUUGGAAGAUAAUUGUGAUACUUGAUGCCAUGCGCGCUCUCGAUUUCUAACUACUCAUGCCGCCAUUGUCAUUGGGUAUGACCGGUGACAACUUGGUGGAAACGUAGCAAUUCGACACGAUUAUUCUCCAAACAUAUGAUUGUUGAGAGCCUGAAUCCUAUGUAAGGGUGGGCAACGGUUAUGCCAGACGGGUAACCGCGGUUAUUUACUUAUAACUGUUUAUGCUCAUACUCGCAUAACCGUUUACCCAUUUGGUAAUUGCCUAAAUUGUUAUACUCAUACCUAUAACCGUUUAUAAACGGUUAACCAUACCAAUAAUCGCAUACCCAUUUAACCGUAACCGUUUAAUACCCGUUUACUCAUUUUUAACUUGUUUAUCUUUUUCCCAUUUUUAACUUGUUUAUCUUUUUUUUUUACCAUUACCCAUUUUUCACCCAUCUACAUGUUUUUUAACAAAUUGAAAUUUUAAAAAAAAUUUGUCAUAAUUUUUUUUGACAAUUAAACACCGUUAUAGGGGUACAUUCAUUAUACAUUUCCUUAUUUUAAUUUUUUAAGUCCUUAUACCGUUUCAAUAAUUGAAAUAAUAGUUUACAGACGAUAUUUUUAAGGGGUGUGAUAUCCACACACCCCAUUUUACUUCUCACACACCUUUUUAAUUUUCGACCGUCGGAUCAGAUGAAUUGAAGAAGAUCAACGGACAAUAAUUAUUAAAGGUGUGUGAGAAGUAAAAUAUGGUGUGUGGAUAGCACACCCCUAUUUUUAACUGUUACCAAUGAAGGUAAUAUAAUAUUUGCUAAGUAUUCUUGGGUUAUGAAAACUGUUUAGAAGACAGUAUUUUUGAGUUAUUUAACCCAUAGUGCAAAGUAUUAACAUAAUAUAUAUAAUGAGCUACAUUAUUUUAUAAUUAGCUAUAUAAACCAUGCACUAUAGUCAAUAGCAUCAGAGGUGCAAUUUGGGCUGAGCCAACCCGAACCCGCCCAUGUCUAACCUGACUUUAAACUCGAAUAAGCGAAUUUUGUUGUUGUUAUAACCCGCCUGAACCCAACCCGAUUUCAACCCGUUCAUUGAUUGGGUUGGAUUGGGUUGAUCAUUUGUCCAUCCCAACCCAAUCCAAUUAACCAAACCCUAUUAGGUUGAGCUGUGCAACAUACUUCUCAAUAACCUUUGCACCUUUGCACCUUUGCACCUUUGCACCUUUGCACUUUCAUGAGAACCUACUGAUAUGAUAUACAAUUUGACUUGAAAGGAAUCAUAUUAAGUUUAUUUUGCUUUUCACAUCACAUCCUGUAGAACAACUUCCUUUAUUAAAUUAAUAUUGCAACUAUUCGACCUCUCUUUGAGAUCUGCUUCACAGUUUGAGUUGUGAUUGUUUCUUAUGCUGAUUCAGACGAAGUAGGCUAUUGAGCAAGUAAAUUUGAGGGAAAGUGAUUUUAAGGUCAGUUGUUUGCUAAUACAAAUAGGUUGACAUCAUUGUUGAAAAACAUUAAACACUACUUGAAAAAGUUAGGCAACCCAAACUCAACCCAAGUAAAUCCAAACCCGAUUAAACCCGAGCCCGACUAAACCCGAUUAAAACCCAAUCCGAACCCGAACCCGAAUUGUAAAAGUUGGGUUAGGAUUUGGUUGAUUUUCCAACUCGCCCGAGUUGCACCCCUAAAUAGCAUUGAUCUAAGUUUUGUCCUAUAGAGAACAUGGUUUGUGUUAAUUUUACAUAUAUAAAAUAAAUGGGUAAACGGUUACCUGUUUAUAACCGUUAUUUAUACCUAUAACCGUUUAUUUAUCUAAAUAGUUACCUAUAACCAUAACCGUAAAGUUUAAAUAAGUGGGUAACUGCGAUUACAAGGUAUUUUACCCAUAUUCCCAUGUCAGAAAGUAAAGCAUUGCCGUAUAAUUUAAAUUAUCUUAGAUCAGUUGAUUUUAGACCGAAUGUUCACAUUCUAAAAUUUCUAAUAACGUCUGCGUUGGUUGUGAUAUGAGUUCUGCACCUCCGAUAUUGUAAAGCAUUAAAUAAAGGCCCAAUUACAAAUUCAUAAUUUUGGCCCAUGGUUUUUGGGCCCAGAGUAAGGUUGCGUAAUUUCCAGGGUCAAGUUUUAAAUUUGAUGCUUAAAUAGCAAGCCCAACCUUUUGCAAUCUCUUACAUGGGCAUUUUCCAGUCUUUACUUUUCAUUUUCAUUUUUACUUUGGAAUUCUAAUCCUGUAUAACAGUACAUGUGGAAAAUCUAUAUCUUUUUUUCUUUUUCUGCAUAUUCCUGUUUAGUUUUGUUAUUUGAUUUUCUAAUACUUUAUUUCAUUCAAAGGUUAGAAAUGAGCAAGAUUUGUGUGUGGGAGAAAAAAGUGUGUGCGACAAUCAUUUCUCAUUUCAUUUUUUAUCGAGGAGAUAAGAGAUUCAAACUUAAAAUCUCUUCUAACAUUGAGAAGUAUCACUAUUGUACUAACGACUAGUUGGUAAUCUUGCACAUGUGUUCAAAACCAAAAAAUUUCUAUUUUGUAUAAUGAGAUGCAAAAUUUAGAUUGCAACGAAGUUCUUCUUUUUAUGCAUGUGAGAGUGAAAUUGCAAUAAAUCGAACAACUUCAAUUACAUAUAUAAGAGUUUCUUUUCUUGUUUGUUAGAAAAUUUUGUGCAGAACGGUUUCAUAUUACAUAUGUAUCUUUUUACUUUUUAUCACGUAUCUUGUCAGGUGACUUCGCAAUGAGAGAUAGAAACACGUCAAGAUACAACGAUUGUUCCAAGAAAGUUUUCUAGUGGUAUGAGAAAGUUAACGAAAAGGGUUGGGACUUGGGAGGCGUUACGUCGUUAUCUGUAACGGUCUUAACAUGGAGCCAAGAUGGGAUGGUAGGGUUUUCGUGUGCAUGAAGGAUGCAGAUGACCUGAUCUGCCUUUCCCUUUGUGCUUGUGACCUCCUGCAAUUUCCAUAUCGACAAAACUUUUGCCCCUUGAUGGAAAUAUCCAACUUUGUGGGGGCCACCAGUCCAAUCCAUGCAUGGAUCCGGCCCGUUCAAUUUUCAUCGCCAGAAUUCAGUUGAUCACCUUGAUAUCAUGACCUAAUUCAAUCAUCAUUUGGAAGACUUUUUUGUCAAAUAAAACGAAAUAAUUGAUUAAUAUGAUUACAAGAUUAAUUCUUCAUUUUCAACAAUAUUGUAGGAUUUAUUUACUAGAGUGAUAGAAGAUUUGAACUUGAAUCCAGACCGCUUUAAAAACUCGUAAAAAAAUAGUAUCAAUGACCAUUUCCUCCUGUUUUGGAGGCAAAUUUGGUCCACUGUUUUUGUGCAUGAAUAAUGGUUGCCUUUAGUAUUAUUUGCUACUUUUUCUUCAGUAAAACAAUAAUACUGUCACUUUCUAUGAUGCCCAUUUCACACUAGCAUGCCCUGGAAGAACUAAAUAUCUUUUGUCAACAAAAAUCUUCCAUAGGUUGUUCCAAUCCAAGCUAGCCUUGGGUUGUCAUGAUGAUUUUGGUUUUAAUACAAAGUAAAUGGUAUAUAUCAACCGACCAACUGUAUAAGUUACUGUCAGUCGUUAAUAUAUGAACGUUGGUUCAUAUAAAUCUCAUAGGUUCCAUUUGGUGUACGAAAUGAAAGGUUGUGAGUAACAGUUAUAUCCUUAAAGAAAAUAUUGACAAAUUAUGUAAUGUACCCAUCCUGCAGUCCUCAUGUUGGCCAUAACCCUACCCAUGUGCAAAUACAAGUGAACAUAUAUCUCUUUUAAUGUAAUCAAAAUUAAAUUGAAACUUAAAACUUAAAUAAGAUUAGGGUUUUGAAUAUUCUAACGUGCAUGGGUUUGGUGACAUAGCAGGUUUAUUCGGUCCCUCGUACACUAGCAAAAGAGCUUGAAAUUAAUUAAUAUAAUUUUAAUUAAAUUAAAUAAUAAUGAUUAAGCUGAGUAAGAAGGAAGAAAGAUCUCCUAAUUAAUCAUCUCCCAAUUGGAUGCAUGACAGUAGCAUUUGGCCCACGUUCCGGAGUAGGCUCCAUCCUCCAUAACAUGCACAUGAGCUGCCAACCAUUUGGUCUCUCUGGGACCGCAUCAUAUUCAUCUGCAGUUAUUUGGAUUCUCAUACGAUCGACACAGAGAGAGAGAGAGAGAGAGAGAGAGAGAGAGAGAGAGAGAGAGGUUUGCAUUGUGAUGAGUGUGAACCCAUGAGACGUUGCAUAGUAUUAUCUUCUGCUACUAUCCCUCCCCAUUGGUUCUGCAAACCCAACACCAACCAAGAUAAGCGUUAGGCUAGUCGGUCGCCUUACCGCUUCUGGUGACGGUAUACUGUUGAUGUAUGUAUAAAUAAUGAACGACUGAGUUUAGUAUUCAUCUAUCUCUUUUGAAAUACCAAACGUACAAUAUGUGACAUUUGUGUAACAAAAGCCGUCUCCUUAUUCUUAUACUUCCAACACCUAGAGUAGUACGUAGCAGUGGUAGUCUUAUCGCACUUACUGACCUUUUUGUUUCAAUUGAUUCUCUCGAUUGAUAAGUGGCCGGUGUUUGGUCCUAAAUAGAAAUUAGGUUAAAUUAUAAACAUAAUCUUUUUCACAAAUGUAUGUUUUACAAUAAGGUAGAAUAAUUAUGUUGACAAAAUUGAAGGUUUCAAUGUACGAUAGAUUAAUUGGAAUGUAGAUGAUUCUCAGUUGUUGAGGCAUUCACUUUAUUUGGUGCGGAUGUAUAAUUGAUGGACAGUCGUUCAUGCACGUGUGUUUGUAUGAAGAUAUGUAAAGCAACCCUCUAGAUAUGAAUAGACAUAAGGUCUUUGUAAGUUGGGCUACUACUAUAUAGCGAAUUAAUUUUAUGUUGAAACCUCAGCUUUAUUCAUGAUAUCAAAGUAGGGUGUUUCAUGUGUGAAGCCCAACGGCUACACGUGCUUCACAUCACUCAUUUUAUUUUGUCCAUGUGCUAAGCUUAAAAAUUCGUCACGUGAUGAGACGUGUUGGAGUAUUAAUCCUACAUCGAAAAGAAGGAAACUUGCAUUGACAAAUAAGAUACGCUAAUACCCAUAUUAUCAAUUAAUUUUAUAAAUUUUAUAGUAAAACCCAAACAUUUUUCAUAAUUUUCUUUGGAGUUAACUAAAGCCAGAAGUUUGUGGUGUUGUUAACUCACUACCUAGGAGUGGACAUUUUAACCGGUAAAUCGGGUCGAGAAAACCAAAAGAAUCGGGUUUGACAUUGUCACAUUCUUGUUGCAUUUUUUCCCAAAUACCGAAUGUAAUGUGCCAUUCUUGUUACGGACAAGGAUUGUCUGCCCUCCUAGUUGUGGUGCCCUUCUAUGCCCUCCUAUUUUGUGCGGUCACGGUUAAGCCACGUCAACAUUUUAUAUUAAUUUUUUAAUGAGAUAAUAAGACAAAAAACAAUAAAAAUAUAAAAUAUUAACGUGGCUUAACCGUGACCGCACAAAAUAGGAGGGCAUGGAAGGGCACCACAACUAGGAGGGCACCUUGUCCUUCUUGUUACAAAAGCCUCUUUAUUCUUAUCCAAUAGAAGUAGUACGUAGUCUUAUCUCACCUAAUGGUCUUUUCUGUCAAUUGAUUCUCUCAGUUUAUAUAUAAGCUUUGUUUGUUUCAAAAUACAAAUUAGCUAAAUCAUAAACGUAAUGUGUUUCUGUUUGGAUCUUACUGUACACCAUUGAUCUGUUUAAUUGAGGCUGUUGAAUUUUAAUAUUUUUCUUAAAUAUUACUAUUGCUGAUUCGAAUUCAAUAGAGAAAACCAGGCAUUAUCCAUUGCUGGUUGUUUGUUGGAGAUCCAUUUGUUGAUAAAGACUUACUCAAGUGAUGGCAAGGAUUUUCCAACUUGGCUUGAGUAAAGAAAAGAUAAAAGAAGGUACCAUCCAUUUGUGAUAUUAUCCCUUUGGCCAAUUUGAUAAUUUAUUCUUUUUGGCCAAUUUGAUAGUAUUUCCUAAUAGAAUGCUCAGUGUUCAUUAAGAUAAAGAUGGCCAUCAAAAGGCCUUUGGUAGCCACGGUAUGGACUUUACAACACGUUCAAGCGUAUUAGUCCUAUAAAUACAUAAAACCGUGUAAUGAGAAGGCAACCUUCAACUUAACAUACAAAUAUGCCUUGCACAAAUCUCGCUCUAGGCGAACACUUCUCACACUCAGAGAACUAACUAACUCACAUUUUGAGAAAUCACUAACUCUCCACUUUCCUAACUACUUAAAGCUCGAUUGAUUAUCUAUCCAAGUCUCAGCUGACGAGGAGUCCUUGAUUCUUUAAUUGAACGAGGUCACUUUACUAGCUUUCCAACCAAAUUAAGUGUUUUAUGCUUGGUUACUUCUGGUACAUUUUAGAGUUCGGUAUUCUGACGGUUGAACAACAUUUACCAUCAAGACAUUUAUCUCUUUCGAGUACGAGUAUCCUUACAGUUUAACUCCGAACUGAUCAGAGCACUUAUAUUUUCACAAAUAUAGUCGAGGCGGCCGAACCUGGUGCAAAAGAUCAUGAACUUCACAGUGACUAACAACCUUUUUGACAUCACCACCACAUUCAUUCUACUAACCGACCGAGUUCGAUGGCAAGUUAGCACGACCGCAUUCAUCAUAAUGACGUAGUUAGCUUUUUGUUAUUCAGUCUACGUGUAAGUAAACUUGAUAGUUUUUAAGGUCAACAAUUUCACAAAUUGUGCUUUACAUUCUAACAAGUUUUACGAUCUCAACUUAUACUAGACGAAGGCGGACGAUCGAUUGUUAGUUGUUGCUGCGAGUUUCAUUGUGAUUGCGGAUGUAUAAUUGACAUACAAUCGUAACGUGUGUUUGUGGGCAAAGCAACUCUCUAGACAUCAAAAGAUAAGGUCUUUAGUUUUAUUCAGAAUUUGAGGUGUCUAUAUAAGUCACAAAAACCAAGAAACCUCUCGAACUCGUACCUUGGAUGCAGUGGAUGGGUUCCUAUCACAUGGUUGUCGCCAAAGGCAACAGAAGAGUACUCGCUAUAAUACUAAAUUAACAUGGUCCACUAGACGGUGGCUUUCCACCCUUUUUGUCGAUCGUGAGAGUAUGAUUUGGCCAAAUGCACUGUUAUUCUCCCAAAGUCGAGGUCAAUUUAGUAAACUAAUAUAUAGAAGUUUUUAAAAGUCACUAGUCUAGUAGCGGGUAGAGGCCUGUCGCUUAGGGGGGCCUAGGUAAUUUUUUAUUUUUAAUUAAUUUUUUAUAUAAUAUAUAGAUAAAUAUCUACUUAUAUUUUUUUUAAAAUAUAACUGUAUUGAGAUACAUUAAUUAGAAAAUGGAACUAUAUAUAAAUUAUAAAGUAUUAGAAUUGAAAACAUGGGGAAUAAACAUAUAAUGAGUGUUCAUCUCAAUAUUUAACAAGUUUUUUACAAUUUAUUGAAAAAAUAAAAUGUAAAAUGAAAGUUAUCUAUUUUCUAUCUAAAUGAGAGUUACGAUCUAGACGAGCGCCUACGCAGAUCUAGACGCUCUUUCUUAGUUUUCAAACGUCUAGUGAUCAAUCAAAGCGAUGACUACCUGCUUAGCGCCUAGGCAGGCUUAAGCGAAGCUAGGCGGUAAUUUUUAAAAGAAUGUGAUAUAUAGUUAGUAAUGAUAGCUACAAGGAAGAAAGAAACAACCCCACUGUACGAAACCAAAAACACUAAGCUACGAUGUGUUCUUAUCAUCUUAAGUUGUCCUACGAAUAAGUUAUGAAACCUAAUAUUAUGUUGUUGACCUAACCAAGUAGCUAGUAGCUAGUAUCGUUCACAUCAUCACUCCUAAAGUAACUUGAGGUAAAUUAGUUGCAAGAUAGCUAGAAUACAGAUCCGUCAAGGGACAUUUUUGUAAGACACAUUUUUAUUGAAAGCGCUACAAAUUUUUAUCGAAAAUUCAAGUACAUCUUGUUGGAGCAUAACGUGGUAUUGUUUGCAUACAUCAUGUAAAACUUUUACAUGUUAGGAUUUAACAAAGCAAGUAUUUUACGUUUUCAUCUCUCACACUUCAUUGUGAUCGAAACUCAAAAGAAAGAUGAUAAUAAGGUCAACUAGUACCCUAAUGAAUAUGAUUUUUAAUUUUCCGUGUAUUGCAUUACGGUUAAAAUGCAAGAUUUUUCCAAUAUUAAACUAUCAUAAGUAGUGUGUGAUGUCAGAGAUAUUACGAGACGAAGAACUUGCUGGUUCUAGUAUGAAAAUUGUUUUUGAAAUUUUGAUUUAAAAUGAUUCAGUCUUCAUAGGUGUCGGCGGGUUGGAUUGGUUUUUAGCUUAAAAGACCAUUUCUGUCCAUUAAUGUUGGUAGUCAGUUGAAUCAAUUAUUUUUUCUACGUGUUUAAUCUUAAACAAAAUUAAAAAAACGGUUUGUUUGGGGAAGGCUGUUAUUUAUUUUUAUUAAUUUUGAAAAAGUCGCGGUAAAAUCCCGGACAACUGUCAGCAGCUGGAGUCACUGUCAGUCGCGCUUGCACGCCGCCGUAGCUUAUUAAACUCCGGUCACUCACUUCCGCUCGUCUUCCGCCGGAAACGCCCUUUUUUUUUUGCUCGAUCAAUAAAAAUUAAAGUUAAAAAAAAAAGAAAAGAAGAAGAACGUUUCUGAAUUACCAAUCAGCUCUUCAACUUCCAUUGGCCACAGCAGUACAGAGCACUGUGUCUCUCUACUUUCUCUCUCUACACACUCUCUCGUAUACUUUCUCUCUCUAUACAGAGAGAAACACAGCACGAGAGCUCUCUGUUGGUAUUUUUUACGGACGUACACGCGGUUGUGUAGGCGUAGAUUCCUUUGCCCCCACUGCGUCAUAUAAUUUUAUCAAUAAAUAAAUGCCAAAAAGCUCUCUCUCUCCCCGCUGAAACCGCAUUUAUACACAGAGAGAGGGCCUAUUCCUAACGUUUUCCUCAUUUUUAUGUGCUGCUUUGGUUUGCCUAUAUUCACUCCUCCUCCGGGGAUCUCAGCCGUCCUCCGCCGCUCUUGCGAGAAUUCACCGGCUCAGCUGUCACCGGCAAGUUUCUCUCUUUGCUUUGGUAUUUAUUUCUGCUGAAAUUUUAAGCUGUUUUUUGUUUGUAAAGUUGGAAACUUUGCUGUGAUGGAAUUGAUGGGUUUUGAGUAUGUUGAUUUUGUGCGGAUUUUGAGGGCAUAAGUGGGUAAUUUGUGGAUUUUGGGCAGAUGGGCAGAUGGGCAGCUGUUGUUUUAGCCCAGUGCAUACGUGGUCUACAGUGUACUGCUUUUGGAUUUCUGGGGAACCUAUAGAGAAUAAUUGCCAGAAAGAUAUGGUCUUGUAGUGUAAACUUAUUGAUUUCUGGGUGAAAUCGAAGGUUUCAUAUCUGGGUUUGUUUUAAUUCGUUGAAUUGGGGAUUUAUAUCUCGUGGAAUUGGACUAUUGGCGUUAUAAAAUUCUGGAGUUUUUGUGGAAUUUGGAUUUAUGGAGGCUUUUGGAGGCAGAGCUCGGAAUUUCUAUGGUACGAUGGUGCCGGAUUUGAAGGGGGCUGGGAAAAAGAGUUUGGAAUGGGAUUUGAAUGAUUGGAAAUGGGAUGGUGAUCUUUUUACCGCUAGUCCUUUGAAUGCUGUACCAUCUGAUUGUAGGAGCAGGCAGUUGUUUCCGCUUGGGCUGCCGGAAACUCCCUCCACUGCUGGUUUGUCCAACAGUUCUUCUUCUGGUUCGGACGGUAUCUGUCCAGGGAAUGAGAAAGGUAAAAGAGAGCUGGAGAAAAGAAGAAGGGCUAGUUUUGUAGAAAAUGAAGGGCUAACUGAUGAAGUUGGGUCUCUUAAUCUCAAGCUUGGCGGGCAAGCUUACCCAAUCAUGGAAGGAGAGGUACAACAUGGGAAGAAGACGAAGAUAGUUGGGACUACUUUAAACCGAGCAGUUUGUCAGGUGGAGGACUGUAAGGCUGAUCUUAGCAAUGCCAAGGAUUACCACCGACGACAUAAGGUCUGUGAUAUGCAUUCUAAGGCAACUAAAGCGGUGGUGGGAAAUGUUUUGCAGCGGUUCUGUCAGCAGUGUAGCAGGUUAGUUCAAUUCUAUGGUUGUCCUUGUAUGGUGAGAAAUAUUUCAAAUUUUCUUCAGUUAAGUUCUACGUCGUUUAUUCGGUGCUUUCUUAUAGACAUUGUUUCUAGAAGAUGAAAUACAGAGUUUGAUUUGUAAGUUUUAAAAAAAUUAUUUGUUGCUCUCAUGAUUUGGGUCCAUAGUUGUUCAUCACUGUGUUUGGUAUAGUCGAAUUUUGAAGAACUUUUUUGUUGAAUUUGGAAUGUGGUUAUACUUAUGGGCAGGUUUCAUGGCCUUCAAGAGUUUGAUGAAGGAAAGAGAAGUUGUCGUAGACGUUUGGCAGGCCACAAUAGGAGGAGAAGAAAAACACAUCCUGAUACUGUAGUUAAUGGAGGCUCAUUGAAUGAUGAAAGAGGAAGCAGUUAUCUAUUGAUUAGUUUGCUGAGAAUACUCUCCAACAUGCACUGUAAAUCUUUGUGUUAUUGCACAUUCAAUUUUUGGCUGCUUUGCCUGACAUUAAAUUGAUAUGCUAAGUGUAUGUUAAGUGGUUACCGGAUUGUGUGUUGAUUGCCAUAGACUGAUGUCAAAGUUCUUGUGGUCUUUUGCUCUUAGGUUUUGUCAUUAUUUGAUUGAGGCUUGUAGCAAAAUGAUUAUGUCAAUUAACAUUUAAUAACUCCACUCAUAAAUUUUUAUUUGUAAACAUACAACAUAUUACUUGAUGAGUCCUUAACUGCUUAAGGUGCUCUAUUUUUGUGUAUAAAUGACAAAGUGCUAGUUUCUCUGAAUUUAAUUUGAUGAAAAUUUGAAUAUUGAUGCUUACGCAUGAAAAGUUUUCAGUUUUUCAGAGGUUGAUUUGAUAGAAAGUUAGAAUUUUGUGCAGACCUUCAUGUCGAAAAAUAUUUCAAUUUUUAUAAUCCAGAUUACACCUUGUGUGCUUGAAUUUCAUCCCUUGAACCCUUGUUUUUUGCACUUUCUUUCUCUGAUUGUUGGACUGUCCAUAUUUCACAUUCUAGGAUGCAUGAAGGAAGGGCCUAUUAAAGGGAAUUCUAAUUAGGAAUUGUUAUUUAGGAAAUUAUGUCUCAGUGAUCAUGUUAUUAUAAUAUUUAUUUGAUUAUGUUUGUGUUUGUUUUUCUUCUCAUAAGUGUCUUACUCAACUCCACUUUUGAUGCCUAAAAUGCAGCUAAUAGUUCAGAUCAAACAAAGGAUCAGGAUUUGCUAUCUCAUCUUUUGAAGAAUCUAGCCAAUCUUUCUGGUACAGUUGAUGGAAGAAACAUGUCUGCAUUGCUUACGGCAUCUCAAGGUUUAAUAAAUGGCGGGGCAUCAAUUCAGACUGCACAAAAGGUCCCAGAUACAGUUUCCAACGGCUGUGAACCAAGUAAGCCUUCUGUUUCAGCCUCUAAAAUGGAUGAUUAUAUUAAUGGUGAGGACCCUUCAAGACCUAUACGACAGUGUUCUACGGUACCUGCAUCAGAUUUCAGGAGAAUAUCUUCAGUUGAUGCAGAUCAUGGAGGUCUACAAGUUGUUUCAGGUCUAAAUGCCACGAAGCCAUUUCCUUCAAGAGACAGUGUUCCAUCCACAUCAGUUGCACCAGAAGCUACAAUGGGGAGGAUGCAGUUAAAUGGCAUUGAUUUAAAUAAUACAUAUGACGAUUCCCAGGACUAUUUGGACAACCUAGGGAAUUCGCAUGCCCCUGUAAAUUCAGGGACAGUGGCUCAUGGUUUUCCCUUUUGGAUGCGUCAGGAUUCGCAAAAGUCUAGCCCACCUCAGACAAGUGGGACUUCAUGCUCAACUUCAUCAAGUUCUAGUGGAGAUGCUCAGGUAUAUUCUUGUUGUACUUGCAUCUCGUUCCUCGUUAUUGCUUGGUAUAUUAAUGCUUGUAUAUGCCAUAACCUGUCCUUUUCUGUUGGAUAAAAGAAUAGCUUUGUUCUCACUUUAAUUUGGCAUUUAGGUGACAAUGCUUUGCAUUCGACUUGUCCGUUUGUCUAGCCAAUUGAUUGAAAAAACAUGAAGUACUCGGCAUACCUAAUAAAUACUUCUGUUGUGACGUAAGAGUCAAGAUGGAUUCUCUUCUUUUGUAUAGUGCUUUGUAUGUAUAAAUGUGUGCGUAUGCUUCUGCUUGAUAAGGUUUAUAGAGUUGUAGUUAAACUACAGGAGGUUGCAGGCUAUAUCAGUUAGAGUUGAGUAUUUUUUAAAUAUUUUUUAUUAUGAAGGCCAGUGUGUAAAAUGUUACUGCACUGUUACGUCUCUUAACCACUCUUUUUCUGCCGUGUUUCAGAGUCGCACAGACCGUAUUGUUUUUAAACUCUUUGGAAAAGAUCCAAAUGAUCUUCCAUUUGUUCUACGAGCACAGGUAAUAUUUGGUGCCUUGAUUUAAUUCUUCACAAUGUAACUUGUGUUUCCUUGCACAUACAACAAUUUUAUGAAAUAUUUUGAAUAUCCAGAUUCUCAACUGGUUGUCCCACAGUCCUACUGACAUUGAAAGCUACAUAAGGCCGGGAUGUAUCAUUUUGACAGUUUACCUCCGUCUAGAAAAAUCCACGUGGGAGGAGGUAUGUUUCUGUGCUGAUGCCAAAAUGUUGAUUGCUGACCUUGUAUCAGGGAGAUCUCUUUUCUUGUCCUUAAUUGUUAUGUUUGCCUGCAGCUCUGCUGUAAUCUGGGAUCCAUUAUAAAACAACUUUUACAUGCUGCCAAUGAUCCUUUUUGGACAACAGGAUGGGUGUAUACUAGGGUGCAACAUUCUGUAGCAUUUACGUACAAUGGUUUGUUCUCUCUCUCUCUCUCUCUCUCUCUCUCUCUCUCUCUCUCUCUCUCUCUCUCUCUCUCUUAAUUAUUCAUUCAUAUAUUUUCUAGCUCAUUUAGUGAUUUACCAAUAGUUGUGUUAUGAAAGAAAAGACAUUUUAAAUAGUUAUGUCUGUACUGCAGGUCAAGUUGUCUUAGACACACCCUUACCUCUGAAAAGCCAUAAAAAUUGCAAGAUAUCAUGCAUCAAACCAAUUGCAGUUUCUUUAUCCGAAAGAGCUGAAUUUGUAGUAAAGGGGUUUAAUCUUUCUCGUGCCACCACAAGGUAUCCUUAUCUUUCAUUCAAGCUUCAUUAUGUAGACCACUCCAGUGUCAUAUGUUAUUUCUGAAUUAGUAACUAUCAGGAUAACUGGGAAGGAGGAAAGUACUAAGUCCUAGCUUGUGACAGGUUGCUCUGUGCUCUGGAAGGGAAGUAUCUAGUCCAAGAAACUUGUUAUGACUUGAUGGAUGGUGCUGAUACAACCUUUGCGAAUGAUCAGCUACAGUGCCUCAGAUUCUCCUGCUCUAUACCCAAUGUUACUGGCCGAGGACUCAUUGAGGUGCUGUUCCAUUCUUAAUAUAUGUUUUAUAUUUCCUUUGAAGUGUGCUUAUCAUUACUUAUUUAUUUAUUUUUAUUUCAGGUUGAAGACCAUGGUCUCAGCGGCUGCUUCUUUCCAUUUAUAGUUGCCGAGCAGGAAGUAUGUUCAGAGAUUUGUACCCUGGAGGGUGCGAUUGAGGUGGCUGAGACUGCAGAUAACAUCCAGACAGAACCUGAAAAGUUGGAAGCCAAGAACCAAGCGUUGGACUUUGUACAUGAAUUGGGUUGGCUCCUUCACAGAUGUCACACUAAAUUUAGACUUGGUCACGGGGAUCCCAACUUAGAACUAUUUUCUUUUAGACGGUUCAGGUUGCUUAUGGAGUUUUCCAUGGACCGUGAUUGGUGUGCUGUAGUGAAGAAACUCCUGGGCAUUCUGCUUGAGGGUACCGUUGACACUGGAGAACAUCCUUCUAUUGAGCUUGCGUUAUUGGAUAUGAGCCUCCUCCACGGAGCCGUGCAAAGAAAGUGCAGGCCUAUGGUGGAACUCUUGUUAAGAUUUGUCCUAGACAAAGGGUGGCAACAAGUUGACGGGGACGGCAGCAACUUCUUAUUUAAACCCGAUGCAGUUGGGCCCAUGGGAUUGACUCCUCUUCAUGUUGCAGCCAGUACUGAUGGAUGUGAGAAUAUAUUGGAUGCCUUAACUGAUGAUCCUGGAAAGGUAAUUUCUCAUUGUCUUCUUUGACAGUUUUCUUUCUAAUUGGAUGUAAAAAUCAGAACAGGUCUGCAUCAUUAUCCAUUUUUCUCCGUACGUGUUUGACCGUUUGCUCAUACAAAUGACUCAUGUCAGCUCAUUCUGUGUCUCACAUGAAUGUUGAUAUUUCAAAUCGUUGUAUUUUCAAGCAUACAAAUGUUGAUAUCUUUGCUUCUUUAGGUGGGAAUUGAAGCGUGGAAAAAUGCUCGAGACAGUACAGGAUUGACACCAAAUGAUUAUGCAUGCCUGCGAGGCCGCUACACCUAUGUCCAAAUUGUCCAGCGGAAAAUCAACAAGAAACAUGAAAGCGGGCACGUGGUGCUUGAUAUCCCUGGCGUUAUCUUAGACAGCAGCAGCAAGCAGAAACAAUUAGAUGGGCAUAAGUCCUCAAAAGUCUCCAUCUUGGAGACCGAAAGGAUCGAUAUGAAAGCAAUGCAGGCACAUUGCAAGCAAUGUGAAAUGAAACUAGCAUAUGGAAACACAAGGUCGUUUGUGUACAGGCCGGCAAUGCUGUCAAUGGUAGCCAUUGCUGCUGUCUGUGUUUGCGUGGCCUUGCUCUUCAAAAGCUCGCCUGAAGUCCUUUAUGUCUUCCAGCCCUUCAGGUGGGAACUCUUGGAGUAUGGACCGAGCUAAGGCAGUUUACGCGUCUCAAAUUUUAGUUACUCUGGCUUUAGGCCGUUUGUGUUAAUCAUAUGUAUAAACGGAUAACUCAAAUUUUAGUUACUCUGGCUUUAGGCUGUUUCUGUUGAUCAUAUGUAUAAACCGAUAACUCUAUAGGGAACAUAAUGUACCAGUUUUCGUAUCCGUUAAGAUUUCCACGAGAGGUGUUGCACUGUAUGUAUUAAUGAUAGUUCAUAUAAAGCGUGUAUAGGGAAAGAUUGACGUAAAUAGUACUAUUGACCAAUUGUUGAGGCAAUAGAUUGCUGCAUUACUUCCAAAAACACAUACAAACAUUGUAUUCGAUGAGGCGGAAGAUUCGGACUUGAAAAUUCUUUCGCUUUUAAGUCAGCUUUCUUAAACAGAAGACAAUAUUUAGUAGGGCGGCCUGACUAAUAAUUUCUUUCGCUUUUAAGUCAGCUUUCUUAAACAGAAGACAAUAUUUAGUAGGGCAGCCUGACUAAUAAGUAGGUUAGACUACUCUUGCUAAAUUUUAUGCAUUGAGAGUUGUAUUUACGUAAGACUGGAUGGUGACCAAAUACAUAGAAUCACGUUCCUUCAUGAGGGGAUAAGGCUGUCUCACAAAGGUUGGAGCUUUGUGCUUACUUAGAUACAUGAAUCUCGUUCUUUCGUGAGUCAACUUUUCAGGUUAUUCAACUCAAAUGUUAUGAAUAAAAUUGGGCCAAAAUUAGAUCAAACAGUUGUUUUUCUCCAAAUAUUUUUAAUUUGGUCAAAUGCAUGAAUCUCGUUCUUUAGUGAGAUAACUUUUCAUGUUAUUCAACUCAAACGUUAUGAAUAAAAUUGGACCAAAAUUAGAUCAAACAGUUGUUUUUCUCUAAAUAUUUUUAAUUUGGUCAAAUCCAAUCCGAGUCUAAUAUUAACUAGCAAAAAAAAAAGCAGAAAAAUGGAUUUUACAGGCUAAUAAAAUAAUAGGAAAAGGACUCCAGUCACAGAGACACGUUGACUCAUAUUUUGACAUGAAAUUGUUUUCCACUUCAACAAGUCAUAUUCAUGGUCCUUACAUAGUGUACACAAUUAUUACCUUGUUUAAUCUUUUUCAAUUAUUUUGUCGUUUUGAACCUUUUUUCUUUGGUUUAAUUGCCAAUAAUUCAAGCAUUAAAUCUUGAUCUCGAAAUGGAACAAUUUUCCGGUGUACUAAGAUCACGUUCACGUAAAAUUACUGGUUCAUUUAAAUUAUAUUACGUAGAUUUGUUAAUAUUAAGUUUAGGUUAAAUCUCACAAUAAUUAGUAAUAAUAUGACGAGAAUUAAACUUGAAAUAUAUCACUUAUAAUAAAAUAAAAUAUCAUUAGUUUAAAUAUUAAAAUGAUACACCUCGUAACUUGUAACGCUGUUAAUUUCUAAUCGAAAUCAAAAGGAGACGCGUCAUUUGAGGCCACCACCUCUCUCCUCUCACUCUCCCCACUGAAACCGAAUUUACACAGUAAGAGAACCCUUUUCCUAACCUUUUCCUAAUUUUCAUGUGCUGAUUAGCUUUGUCUCGGGGCCUAUAUUCUCUCUGCCUCAACUGCGAUCUCAGCCACUUCUUCGUCAGCUCUCAGUUCUCAGCUCAUCUCCCAACAAUUCACCAACCUGCCGGCAAGUUUCUCUCUCUUUACUCUCUCGCUCUCCUCUUUAUUUCCACAAAAAAAGAUUGGGUCUUUCAGUUCUUUCAGCUCAAGUUUCUUUCCAUGGAGUUGAAAGCAUUGACUAGGAUGUAAUUGUGGGCUUGCAAAUACGGUAUUUUGUACUGACUUGUUGAGAGAAAAACUGGGUAAUUGGUGGAUUUUGGGUUCUGGGCAGCUGUAGCCUGUAGUUUAGCUCCAUUUUUAUGCUGGUGUGCUGUUCUUGGUUUUCUGGGGUUCUUGGAAAGAACAAUUUCCAGAAAUUUCUGGGGCUGUGGUGUUAUUGACUUUUUGUUUUGGGGUGAAAUUUAUAGUUUUAUCUCUGAGCUGUAGUUGUUGUUAUUGUUCAAUUGGGUGUUUGUAUCUGGUGGAGUUUGACUAGGGGGCAUUGUAACAUCUCUGGGUUUUUUGUAUCUUGAUCUAUGGAGUCUGAAUUCGGAGGAAAGGCUUGUAAUUUUCGUGGUGUGAUGGUGCCGAAUUUGAAGGGGGUUGGGAAAAAGAGUUUGGAAUGGGAUUUGAAUGAUUUUAAAUGGGAUGGUGAUCUUUUUACUGCUAGUCCAUUAAAUUCUACACCAUCUGAUGGUAGGAGUAGGCAGUUGUUUCCGGCCAGGCCAGAAACUCCGUCGGAUGCUGGUUUGUCCAACAGUUCUUCUUCUGGUUCGGAUAAUAUCAGUCCGGGGAAUGAGAAAGAUCAAAGAGAAUUGGAGAAACGGAGAAGGGAUUUUUUUGUGGAAAACCGAGAGUUGAAUGAUGAAGCUGCGUCUCUGAAUCUUAAACUUGGCGGGCAAACUUACCCCAUUAUGGAAGAAGAAGUACAAACCGGGAAGAAAACAAAGACAAUUGGGACUACUUCAAACCGUGCAGUUUGUCAGGUGGAGGACUGUAAGGCUGAUCUUAGCAAUGCCAAGGAUUAUCACCGGAGGCAUAAGGUCUGUGCUAUGCAUUCUAAGGCAACUAAAGCGCUGGUUGGAAGUGUUAUGCAGCGGUUCUGUCAACAGUGUAGCAGGUUGGUUCCAUCCUAUUGUUAUUUAUUGUUUGGUUGAAACAUUUCCCCGAUUUUCUUGAAUUAACUUGAAAUACAGAGUUUGGUUGUGUAAAUUUUGUUGUCAUGCGUUUGUUGUGCAUGGCUGUUCAUCAAUCUUCUUACGGUAUGGUUGAGUUCUGCAGAAGGUUUUUUUUGUUGAAUUAAAUGUAACAGGGUUAACACUCGUGGACAGGUUUCAUGCUCUUCAAGAGUUUGAUGAAGGGAAGAGAAGUUGCCGUAGGCGUUUGGCUGGCCAUAAUAGGAGGAGAAGAAAAACACAUCCUGAUACUGCAGUUAAUGGAGGCUCUUUAAACAAUGAAGGCGGAAGCGGUUAUCUAUUGAUUAGCUUGCUGAGAAUACUUUCAAAUAUGCACUGUAAGUACUUGCCUUAUUCAUUGUACACUUCUGUCUUAGUGAAACAUUGUAUCUCAGAUUUAUUUGAAUCCGCAUAUUAUGCCAUUUAUAAAUUGCAGCUAGUAGUUCUGAUCAAACAAAGGAUCAGGAUGUCAUAUCUCAUUUGUUGAGGAGCUUAGCCAAUGUUGCUGGUACGGCUGAUGGAAGAAACAUAUCUACAUUGCUGCAGGGAUCUCAAGGUUUAUUUAACAGUGGGACAUCUGUCCAGACUGCACGAAGGGUUCUAGAUAUGAAUGCUGGUGUUAAUACUGAGGACCCUUUAAGGUCUAAAGGACACUGUUCGAUACUACCUGCAUCAAGAGACAGUUCUGAAUCCAAAUCAGUUACACCGGAAGCUACAAGUAGAAGGUUCCAGUUAAAUGAUUGAUUUAAAUAGUACAUAUGAUGAUUCACAGGACUAUGUAGAGAACCUAGGGAAUUCUCAUGUUCCUGCAAGUCCAGGCACUGCAUCUCUUGGUUUUCCUUCAUGGAUGCAGCGUGAUUCUCAUAAAUCAAGCCCACCUCAGACAAGUGGGAAUUCAGACUUAACUUCUACUCAGUCACCGUCAAGUUCUAGUGGAGAAGCUCAGGUAUAUCCUUGUAAUUGCAUCUAUUCCAUAAUUGCUUGGUAAUAUAAUGCUUAAAAAUGCCUUUGUCGUGGAUGAUGCUCAGCCCACUGUAAUUCGUCUUUUUUUUAAUCUUUUUUUCCAUGAGACCAGGGAUUAAUAUAUCAAUUGUCAUUAAUCAUUAUACGGCGUAUAACUUGUCUUUUGUUUGGAUAGUAGAAUACCUUUGUUCUAUCCUUGAGAGUAGUUAGGCAGUCAUGUAUUGUGUUCUGAACGUGUCUGUGUAUCUUUCCAUGGAUUGUCAAAAUAAUGGCGAGGUUAAGUGCGCUCGCUGCUUGGUUAUGGGAUAUAUGUAAGAAAUGCUUCAAUUGUGACUUAAAGUUGAGAUCAGUUAUCUCUUCCUUCAAACCAAUAUGGCAGUUUACAAGCGCAACCACACACACAAACAUACUUGUUGUGUAUACGUCUUCUUGAUGCUGUUAAUAGAAUUGAGGUUAAAGUUACCUGGUGGUUUCUGCAGUCCUAAUGGAACAUGCAUUAUUUAUGUAAAAGGCCAGUAUGUAGAAUGUAUCUGCAAUUUUACGUUUCUUGACUGCUCUUUUUCUGCCACAUAUCAGAGUCACACAGACCGAAUUAUUUUUAAACUAUUUGGAAAAGACCCUAAUGAACUUCCACUUGCUCUGCGAUCACAGGUACUAUAUUUCCUUUGAUUUUUCUAGUUUUCAAAGUACUUUUCAAAGUAUUUUGGUGUUUCAUUCCACGGACUCCAUGAUUUUUAUAAAUUAUUUGAAUAUCCAGAUCCUCGACUGGUUAUCUCACAGCCCUACCAACAUUGAAAGCUACAUAAGGCCGGGCUGUAUCAUUUUGACAAUUUACCUUCGUCUAGAAAAAUCCACGUGGGAGGAGGUAUUCUCGACUGUGGAUGGCAGAUCCUUGUAUGAGGAAGACUUUUUCUUCAAGUCCUUAAUUUUGACAAUUCACCUCUCCCAGACCCUGAUUAAAGCGGGAGCCUUGUGCACUGGGUACGACCUUUUUUUUUAUAAUUAUUUUUGCUUACAGUUCUGUUGUCAUCUGGGAUCCAGUUUGAAAACACUUCUUGAUGCUGCGGAUGAUCCUUUUUGGAGAACAGGAUGGGUGUAUACAAGGGUGCAAGAUUAUGUAGCAUUUACAUACAAUGGUUUGCCUCUCUCUCUCUCUCUCUCUCUCUCUCUCUCUCUCUCCCCCUCUCAUUUCGUGUGUGCGUACACAUUUGUGUAUUUAGGGUCUAUAGAAGAAUCUUGCUGUUUUAGUUUUCCAUUAUGCUUUAUUGAUUUUGGUCAUGCUUUGUUUUGUUAUUUCUAGUACAUAAUGAGGAUUGACCAAAAACAUUAACCUUAUAUGAGAGAAGCAUUUUGAUUAGUUAUGUCCAUCCUGCAGGUGAAGUUGUGUUAGACACACCCUUGCCUCUUAAAAGCAAUAAAAGUUGCAGGAUAUCAUGCAUCAAACCAAUUGCGAUCUCCUUAUCUGAGAGAGCUGAAUUUAUAGUAAAAGGCUUUAACCUUUCUAGUUCCACCACAAGGUUCUUUCAUCUUUCAUUCAUGCGUCAUUACUUUGUUUUCAAUAUUCCUCUCUAGUUUUAUAGGAUAACAGAAGAAAUACUAAAUUCUAGAUCUUGAGUCUUGACAGGUUACUCUGUGCUCUAGAAGGGAAGUAUCUGGCUCAAGAAACUUGUUAUGACUUGUUGGAUGAUGCGGAUAGCACUGUUGAGGAUGACGAACAACAAUGCCUUAAAUUCUCCUGCUCUAUACCAAAUGUUACUGGGCGAGGAUUCAUUGAGGUGCUGUCAUAUUCCUAAUUGUCCCUUUCCCCCUUCCUCCUCUUGUAAUGUGCAUUUUGAACGAGCCGUAUUUUAUAAGUCCGGAAUUUGUUUAUAAAUCUUCUUAUGAAUACUGAGUAUAGAUUUGUUUCUAGACAGCGCCUUAACUGAAAUCCACGGUUCUCAUUUUAUUGGUCAAAUUUAUGUCAGGUUGAAGAUCAUGGUCUCAGCAGUAGCUUCUUUCCAUUUAUAGUUGCAGAGCAGGAAGUAUGCUCUGAGAUUUGUAUGCUGGAAGAUGUGAUUGAGGUGUCCGAGACUGAUGAUGAUAUCCAAUCUGGACCUGAAAAAGUGGAAGCUAAGAACCAAGCCUUGGACUUUAUACAUGAAUUGGGUUGGCUCCUACAUAGAAGUCGCGUUAAGUUUAGACUGGGUCAAUUGGAUCCCAAUCUAGAUACAUUUCCCUUUAGACGGUUCAGAUUGCUCAUGGAGUUCUCCAUUGACCAUGAUUGGUGUGCUGUGGUGAAGAAACUCUUGGGCAUUCUGUUUGAUGGUACUGUCGACGCUGCAGAGCAUCCUUCCCUUGAGUCUGCACUACUGGAUAUGGGCCUCCUCCACAGAGCUGUGCGAAUCAAUAGCAGACGUAUGGUGGAAUUCUUGUUAAGAUUUGUCCCAGGUUUAACAGGAUCUGAGCAGAAGGAACAAGUUGACAGGGACGGCAACAGUUUCUUGUUUAAACCUGAUGUUGUUGGGCCCAUGGGGUUGACUCCUCUUCAUAUUGCCGCCAGUACUGAUGGCUGUGAGCAAGUAUUGGAUGCCUUAACUGAUGAUCCUGGAAAGGUAAUAUCUCCGUUUUUUGAAUUGCAACAUAAUAUUUUUCUUCUAAUUCUAUGUAGAAAUCACUUUGCGCUGGCUACAACCUCCAUCCCAUCUCCAUACCCAUUUGAACUCUUGCGCCUACAGUUGACCUGUGUCUGUUCUCAUACUGUUUCACACACGUGUUUUGAUGAUUUUAACUCAUUCUAAUUUCCAGCAUGUCAGGUUGCUCACGGAUUUUAGAUCUGUAAUCAUGUCUUCUUUGACUUUGAGCUCUCUCUUUAGCUUUUCCACUGUCUUCUGCCUAAACAAAAUACACUGAUUCCAGUUAUUGAGUUGUAUUUCAAAUUCUCAAUUAACCAAUCCUAGACAAAUUAUGCAGUCUUGUAUUUUCUUUGGCUUGCGAAACAUAUGAAACAUAAAUCACCGUAGAAAAGUUAAAUGCGCCAUUCAAAUUGGUAAAGAAAGCAGCACCCCACAUCUAAAUGCAUGCUAACUCUUUCACAGCUGAAAGCGGCACCCAAAUUCUACAUUCAACUUGAAAUCAAAUAGGACUGCUGUUAAAAUUUUUGACGAUAAAUGAAUUAUGAUUCUUUUCAUCGUUCUAGUUUCAACUUUCAAGCAUGUGUUUAGGACUGCUGUCAUGAAAUUUCUUUAGUGUCAGAUAAUCCAUUCAUCAAGUUGAUAUGGGCGUUUUUUUCUUUAGGUGGGAAUUAAAGCAUGGAAAAACACUCGAGACAGCACAGGAUUGACACCAUAUGAUUAUGCAUGCCUUCGAAGCCGCUACUCCUAUGUCCAUAUAGUCCAGCGGAAAAUCAGCAAUACACUGGAAAGCGGGCAUGUGGUGCUUGACAUCCCUGGCCUCACGUUAGACAGAAAUGGAAAGCAGAAGCAAUCGGAUGCGCAUAAAUCAUCAAGAGUAGCCAGCUUGGAAACUGAAAGGAAUGAUAUAAAAGCAAUCUUACGACACUGCAGGUUAUGUGAACAGAAACCAGCUUAUAGCACCACACGGUCACUUGUAUACAGGCCGGCAAUGCUGUCAUUGGUGGCUGUCGCUGCUGUCUGCGUUUGCGUGGCCUUGCUCUUUAAAAGCAAUCCGGAAGUUGUUUUCGUGUUGGAGCCAUUCCGGUGGGAACACUUGAAGUUUGGUUCAAGCUAAGGUUAUAGUUUACGUGUAUUAAUUUAUAGUGACUCUGGUUAUACAUAGACCAUUUCUUUUCACGUGGAUAGGAGUAUAUUUUCUAUCUGAUUUUUAUAUGUAUAUCUAGGGCCACUCAAGCCAACAAGACUCUUCGCAUUGCAAUGGUCGGAACGUCUAUCGUAUCUGUAUUUGUAUACCUAAGCUUCCAAAAUAAACAUGGGCUGUCAUGGAUUUUGGUCCACCAGGUUUGAUUGUAUUUGUAUUUGUAUAACAGUGUUACAAACUGGAUGACACAUAAUUUCUCUGUUUGAUAUUUCUUUUUUUUUUUUCAAAAUAAACAUUUGGCACGAGGUGAUUCGGUGUUCGAUUAUUAGUGCAUUUACUGUAUAAAUUAAAUUUUAAUUUUAGAAAAUUCAGCAUUUUUGUUGGUUAUAUUGGAGGAAAUCGAACUUUGGUCUACUCUAAUUCUAACUUAUUACCAUACCCUCCUCCAUUAUUUGAGCUCAUAUAAGCAUAAGCACACUAAACAAGGUUAAGUAUAGAAGAAUUUGGGAAUUGAGAAUUAUUGUUUGAGCAUUAUUUCAUGUUUAGUGCAAAUUGAGGUUGAAUUAUUUUCUAAUUUUAUUAGUUUAAUCAUUUGGAUGAAUUUGUUCAUGCUUCCAUAUGAAAUCAUUAUUUUAUUAAAAUAAUUUAUUAAUAGUUCGAGAAAAACUUAAAUGGAGGUGCUCACGUCAUUCAUCACGCAUUCACAUUCACAUUCGUUACACGUUUCUCAUAAAAACAUAAAACUCUUUCAAAUGAAUAGGUUUCACUGAAUUUGGAUAAUAUCCGACUUUACAUAAGUACAAGUAUCAAUGCACAUGAUUCCAACCAGUAAUUAUUAUCUUAUUUGAAUUACUUACCCCGAAUCAGACCUGAAAAAGUGUAAUUUAUUCAAAUUUUAUUUUCUGAAAUUCAAAAAAAUAAAAUAAAAUUUGAGGAUAAGAAAAUAAAGGGUAAAGAGGUCAUUUGCAUGCCCUGCCUCCUAAAAUCCACCUCACUACUCACUACCCCGUCACUGCUCUAACAAUUUUGCAGGCCAAAGCCAUCCAUGGCUUCUUCAAUCUCUCUCUCCUUCUCUUCCUCUCUCCUCCCUCAUCCUCUUCCUUUCAACAAAUACUCCACCGCCACCGCCGCCGCCUCCCAGAAAUCCCAAUACCCCAACUUUAAGCUGCUCCUCCGCGCAUUCGCCAACCCAGCUGUAAGCCGUCGCUCCACUCCAUCUCCGUCUUCCGACACCAGAAAGAGGCACUGGAAGAAAGGUGAAUACCCAGGCGUCUCGGAGACGUCGGCUCCGGCGAAUUACAGAAAAACCCCUGGUCGUUCCACUUCAUCUGAGUCUUCCGACACCAGAAAGAAGCACUGGAAGCGAGGUGAGUUCCCGGGCGUCUCGGAGACGUCGACUCCGGCGAAUCACAGAAAAACCCCUGGUCGUUCCACUUCAUCUGAGUCUUCCGACACCAGAAAGAAGCACUGGAAGCGAGGUGAGUUCCCGGGCGUCUCGGAGACGUCGACUCCGGCGACUUACAGAAAAACCUCCGCUCGUUCCGCUUCAUAUCCGUCUUCCGACAACAGAAAGAAGCACUGGAAGCAAGGGGAGUUCCCGGGGGUCUCGGAGACGUCGAUUCCGGCUAUUUAUAGAAAACCCCCUUUGAAAAAUGUGAAGAAGAAGCUGGACCGGAAGAACAAUGCCAAGGCCUGGGUCAACACCGUCACGGAGGCCCUGUCAGACGCCAUUGACAAGAAGCAGUGGCUCCAAGCUCUUGAGGUUUUUGUCUUAAUCUAAACAAAAAUUAACAAAUUUUUCAUCUUUUUUCUUAUGUGUUUUUAGUUUGGUGAAUGUAAAUUGAUGCAAAAUUUAAAAAAAUGGUAUUUUUAUGCUUACCAAUUUAGUUUCUUGAACCAUGUUCUUGAAAAAUGUGAUCUUUUUAGCUGAAUGAUUUUAGUGGAAUUAUAAUUAAUUGGGUGUUUUUGUUUGGAAAAUGUAUGAUGAAAUUGGGUACUAUUACGUUCAGGUGUUUGACAUGCUUAGGGAACAACCAUUUUAUCAACCGAAAGAAGGGACUUACAUGAAACUCAUUGGUAUGCUUGGAAGGUGCGGCCAACCCAAUCGUGCCCGCCAGCUUUUCGAUACAAUGGUUGAAGAGGGCUGUGAACCAACUCUUGACCUUUACACAGCCUUGCUCGCGGCUUAUUGCCGGAACAAUCUGAUUGACGAGGCAUUUUCUGUUCUUAACCUGAUGAAGACUCUCCCGCAAUGCCAGCCUGACGUUUUUACUUACAGUACCUUGAUAAAGGUUUGCAUUGAUCAUUUGAAGUUUGAUUUAGUUGAGUCCUUGUAUGAGGAAAUGGCUGAGCGGUUGAUAGCUCCGAAUACAGUCACCCAAAACAUAGUGUUGAGUGGAUAUGGUAAGGCCGGGAAGUAUGACCAGAUGGAAAAAGUGUUGUCCGGGAUGCUGGAGGGUACAAGUUGCAAGCCUGAUGUCUGGACAAUGAAUGUUGUCCUUAGUGUGUUUGGAAACAAGGGUCAGAUAGAUAUGAUGGAGAGAUGGUAUGAGAAAUUCCGUGAUUUUGGGAUUGAGCCGGAAACUCGCACUUUGAACAUUCUGAUUGGUGCUUACGGGAAGAAAAGGCUGUAUGAUAAGAUGUCAACUGUGAUGGAGUACAUGCGCAAGCUUCAAUUCCCAUGGACAACCGCAACUUACAACAAUGUGAUAGAGGCUUUCGCGGACGUAGGAGAUGCAAAAAACAUGGAAUACACGUUUGAACAGAUGCGUGCUGAGGGCAUGAAAGCAGACACCAAAACAUUCUGCUGCCUUAUUAAUGGGUAUGCCAAUGCAGGCCUCUUCCAUAAGGUGGUUAGCUGCGUUCAGUUGGCUGGAAAGUUUGAGAUACCUGAGAAUACCACAUUUUACAAUGCGGUGAUAGCUGCAUGUGCAAAGGCAGAGGAUUUAAUGGAGAUGGAAAGAGUUUUCAACCGGAUGAAAGAGAAGCAAUGUCAACCGGAUUCCACAACAUACUCUGUCAUGGUUGAGGCAUAUAGUAAGGAAGGUAUGAACGACAAGAUCUACUACUUGAAGCAGGAGAUUGGUACUGAUGGUAAUCAAAGUGAUCAGAUUAGUGUUGAAGAAAAUCAAAGUGAUCAGAUUAGUGCCGAAGAGAAUCAGAGUGAUCAGAUUAGUGUGGAAGACAAUCAGAGUGAUCAGAUUAGUGAUGAAGGCAAUCAAAGUGAUCAGAGUAGUUUUGAAGAUAAUCAAAGUGAUCAGGCUUUUGGAGCUGAGUCUGGCGGUGUUGUCUAGUUGAGAUCUUUGGAGGCAACAGUAUGCUCCAAAAAUCCCUAAUCUCACAGGGCAAUUCCAUUCCCCGCAGUUCUUCUAAGGCAGCAGCAAACUCUUAUUGUGAAAUUGCCGAUCGAUCAGGUAAUCAAACAUUUCCAUUCUCGGAUGGGUGUUAGCAAUGCUGCUUCCUCCAAUUUUAUGUUUCUGGUGAAGGACUGUAUGGAUUGAUCUGAUAGACUGAUAACCCGGGUGAAACUUUAUGGAAAAUGAUUGUACAUACAGAGUUGAUAAGUGUCUCUCUCCAAACUUGAUGCGAUCUCUAAACUAGCAUGCAAAAUUGUACGACGAUUUGUAAGAGUGUUUAACUGUGUUCAACAGAGGAAUUGCUUUUUGUUAUUGCCUGAAAUGUUUUGAAUGUAACUUCACGUAUAUAUUGUCUGCAGCAGCUGCUGGACAAUCAUAGAAGGUGGUCUGUAAACACGUUGUUUUUGAAAAUUAAUCGCUCUUUUCGGUACAUUUUGUGCUGCUGUUGUUCGAAUGUUUUGGCACUUGAGGCAGACAAUUGAUCUGCAAUUAUCCCAAAAUGUAAGGGUCCAGCUCAACAAAACGCAGGGGUAAUUUGAUCAAAGAUGUAAGUUUUGUUAUAUUGACUUUUGAGUAGCAUUGGUAGUGUAAUAAACAAUAUCAGUAACGUUGAAUAAUAAUAAAUUUUACUUGGAUGCCGGCGUGUGUAGUAAGAAUAUGUCCAAAGUGGUUUGGACAACGACAUGAUGGUGCGUUAACUAAUAUGAUCUUAUCACGUGAUGAGAGAUAAAGGAGAGAUGAAUGUAUUCGUGACCUGGAGGUUAUUCUACACGUAAACUUGUAAAGAUAGGCAAACAGGGUGCUUUUUGGUUGAAACGAAAUGCUGAAUUGUUUACUCUUUCUUGUGUAAGAAGAGAAGACUUGUAUCGUAAUCAGGUACUAAUUGUUGUCUUUUGGUCCCACCUUACCUCACACUAUAAAUAAUGGCAUCUAAACCCGAUUAUUCACAGAGAAGCUUUCACAAAAGCAUAAAACUCUUAUAUUUUGGUUUCACUCGCCUCAAACUAGUCUCCCUCGUUGAAAUAGCUAACCUAGUUAGGAACUGUACACAAGUUUCUCUCGUAUCGAAGAAAGUCAAAGAAGUUUUUAGCUCACAAAAGCACAUAACCCCCUAUAUAUUCCAUUUGAAUCACCAUUUACAAAAUUUGUACUAACUUUCCAGUCGAAGAUAGGAUAGUUUCGACAAGUAUUGAACGGCUAAGAUAACUUUAUUUAUUACAUGAAUGGCUAAGAUUAAAAACAAGGGCACGUAGACGAAUACAAACAUCUUCAAUGAGAGGAUCCACCAUUUCUACCAUUGGAAAUUUAAUUUCCUUACAGAAUAGGCGAAAAGUGAAGCGAAAACAAUCGGGAAAGCAAUGAGAACAAUCGCCACGAGGAAUAAACGAUCGUGAUGGAAGCCAUAGUAGUCUUGAAGGAAGGAAGCAACUGUUUUCUGCUCCCCAAAAAUCAAAAUCUCUUUGUUCAUGUCUCCAUAUUGUGAACUGAGGAGGGCAUUUAGGGACCAUGAUGUAGGACAAAUCCAAUAGAACCAAAUCCACCACUUGGGAAUUUUCUGCAUAAAAUAUAUAGAACAUGGUCCGCUAGGCUCACAGUAAACCGUCAUAUUAAGGGUUUAUUUGGCACUGCUUCUUUAGAAAGAACUUUUGCUUAUAAAUUAUAAGCGCUUUUUCUGUAAGUUGUUUAAUAGAGUUAUGUUGCAAAAAAAGCAGUUGGGAGGGCUUCGCAUACUAAAAGCUCUUAAAGUUUUACUACAUAGUCUUUUGGCUUUUCUAGAAGCAGUCUCAAACAGGGCUAAAGACUAAAGAGAGAGUUAGAUUUAGUUACCGGCCCGAGCACAAGGAAGCCGGAAAAAAGAUUCAAUAUGGUGUAGAUUGCCGUUGCGAAAAUGGAAGCUACUUGCAGGCUUGUGCUAAAAGAAGCUAUCAGCAUCCCAAGGUAUACAAAUUAGAGAAAUGUAGAGAAUGUUGCAUGGAAGUACCAGAAAACCUUAGUAGCUGACCAAUAGUACCCUAUUGUAGGGUAUGUAAUAAUGACAUACAGAAUUGCUUGAACCACUUUGUAAGUUAUUUCAAUGGCCACCUACAACAACAUUCAAAAUUUCGACAUGUUAAAAACCUUUCCACUACAAGCUACGUUAUAGUACCAGUUAAAAUGUACGAACCUGUGCAAACGAAUGAGCGUUUGAUGAGUACAUCCCAGCAAAUCUUUCCCGGUACAGAACUGCGCGCUCAGUAGCCACGUAAGGCAGAACCGUCGAGCAAUUGGUUGUGCCCAAAAAUAUUACAGCAAUGUACAGUAACCCAAGCACGUUGAACAAAUCAUGCUCAUUGUUUCUUGAGGAACAAGAAAAACACAGGAUUUAGCGUUGUUGAGCAAAAAUUGUACAUAAUAUGUAAACAAAUAAUUCUCUCGACAUAAUUUCACCCUCGUUCAUUUUUCGAAGAGGGUUUUAUUAGUUUGAGUUUGAUUCAUUCUAGGUUACGCGCCUAUUAAUUACAACCUUUCUUUUGGGAAAGGAAUACCCUUUGAUUCUAAUAUGAAUAAAUCGUAAUUUGAGGAUUUGGGUGUUUAUUUGAUUUUGUGACUGUAUCUAGGUAGAGCCCUAGAUUGCCUACGUACCCUCGUUGAGGGAUCAAAUCACUCGUAGUUCCUUAUGUGUUUUGUUGGGGUUUGACGCCUUGUGCAGUUUCAGCUCAUGCAGAUGAGGAUUUUAAGCCGUUGGAGCUUUAAUAAAUUUGAUAUGGUUUUAUGCCAUUCUGAAAUUUGAUACGGCUUCGUGCCAGUUAACAUAGCUUCGUGCCACUUGAGAUUUUGUUGCGGCUUCAUGCCAUUUGAUAUUUGACUUUUUCUUCGGCUUUACGGCUUCGUGCCAUUGAAUUGGCUUUGAGCCAUUUGAGGCAGCUUUGUCCCAUUUAAAGUGGUUUUAUGCCGCUUAAACGUUGAGUAAAAUUAACAGGUUUAUUUCUGAUAAACCCACUAAUAUUUUGGCAUUUGACUCUGGCUUGGUACCAUUUCUUACUCCAUGUUUAAUUUUACUUUUCCUUUUUCGUUUGCCCUUUCUUCUGACAAAUUUGUAGAGAAUCAUGCUUGGAAUAAAAAAAAAAUUUCCUCUGUUCCUUCAUGGGAUUUACUCCACAAGGGUUUUGUUCAAAGCAGCAGAAGUGAAUUUAGUUUAUACAAACCAGGGAUUCAUCUUGAUUUCUUGGUUGCGUCUAAAAUUUGAUAUCAGACUGCCUACGUAUCCUUAACGGAAUCAAACCGGCGUAGUUCGUAACUUUUGAGACUCAUCGCGGCUUUGUGCCAUUUGAUACUUGAUAUGGAUUCGUGCCAUUUGAAGUUUGACGGAGCCUUGUGGCAUUUGUGUCUUGUAAAUAUUUGUGAUGAACCCACUUUUACAUUGGUAUUUGACUUUGUCUUCCUUUUCAUUUAUUUUGUCUUGGAACCCAUUUUAUUUUGCCUACAAGCCCGUCACUCUAUUGUUGCCCUUUAUUUUUUUGCAUGGUAGCACAAAAAAAAUCCUUGCUUUCAUAUGGAAAAUAUAAAAGCAAGAGUCAAAGCUCCUUUAUUUUUACCAAUGCCUUUUUCAAGCUUUUAAGUCCCUUGCUUUUCUUCUUUCUUUAUUUUUCUUUUGUCAUUGCCGUAUGUCUCCCUAAGAACAACUCCACUUUUGGAGCCCUUUCUCCAUGCAAUCCACUAUUCAAUCCACCAUGUAAACAGUAAUUACCCUUAAUAAACAGUAACUACUUUUGUAUCUCAACCCUUGCACUUGAAUACCCUUGGCAAUAGGCAAUAAAAUAUUAAUUUUUAUAAUUAAUAUUAUAUUAUUUAAUUUGUACAAAUUAAUAUUAUAUUAUUAAUUUAUCUUUUCCAAUCUCUUCCCGAAACUUCUACCAUUUUUGUUUUCUUCUUCCUUCCCACUCUCUCACUCCCCUCUCCCUCAUUGUCUUCUUUUUUUUCUCCGGCCGACAGUCUACCUCCCCUCUCUCUUUUUCUCCCCCAUUUCUCCCUGUUUUCUUCCUCAAACGAGGAAGCUGCGAAUUUUGAGAGAGAGCAGCACCGAACCCACCCGCCUCCCGCCAUGUCUAAAUCCACUGAUGUGUCUUUCUUCCUCCUCAUGGUCCUCUGCGGCCAGGCCCAAAGAGGCCGCCUGCUUCUUUCCGACUUCAACCAAUCAACGUCAUCCGAUCUGAUCUCCGAUAGAGUCCACCACCACCACCGGUCCCACACCCUGGCUCCCUACCUCACUCUCGAGAACGCCCUUUCGGCGGAAGACUCCACCUGCAAGCAGACCUACGUUUUCCUGCCUUGCACCACCACUGUGAUCGACAACCUUUCCUAAUUCCUGACAGAAAAAAAUUAAAAAAAAGGACUGACGCCAGCCUGACGUCAGCCCCUACUCGGGCUGGCAAUUCCUCAUAGACCCUUUGCUCGGGCCUUGGCUGCUGCUUGGGCUUGCUCACGCUGGAGCUGGUCGACAGGGCCUUGGGCUCUUUCUUCUCCCCCCGUCCCUCGAGCAGGAGCUUCCGCUAAAGCUGCUCUAAUGGUUCGAAGAUGAUGGAAUCCAAUUUGAAAUGGCACAAGUUAAAUUUCCAUAAAGAACUCCCAUAACUUUAUUGACCCCUACGUGAGCAACUUUCCAUGUGAGGUGCUGAUUUCAGUUAGCAUUCUUCUUUGAUCUUUUCAAACCCAUUUAAACAUGGGACUUCGAACCUAUCUGACCUAAACUUCUGACCAAUCUGAGAGCAAGCCUUACUCUUUUCUUUGUUUGACUUCAAAGGUCUCCAAAUUCCAAUAAGACUUUAUCCCAUACUUUAAAUGGGGGAACCAUGACUUUCUUUUGUCUUCCACGACUUUCUUUUGUCCUCCACGUGAGUGGUUUUCUUGCUAUGAAGUAAAAGAAGACCACAUCAACAUUUUUUUAACUUUACUUUUGAUUUGACAAAAGCUUUUUGGUCUGGAACUCUUCUUCUCUCCUUAUGAGUUUUAAACAUUUUUUUUUCUUUGUCUUCAACCUUGAAUUUAGCUUUGCCCAACAUUUGACAAUAACUUACUUCAUCUUUGAGGUGCCACGUAUUUAGCCUUUUUUAAAAAAAACAAGCACUUUCUUUUGAGUUUUCUGUUUCCUGCAUGGAUUUGUCUUCACAGGGGUAAAACUAGUCUUCGACUAAAAUCACGAAUCAUCUUUUGCUUGUUGGAGAUUUUUUCUUCAAUUCCUAAUUUAAACAGGAAUUUGAAUGAAACUUGGUCAGUGGCAACUAGCGCCUAUUCUUCUUUGGCUGGGCUUUCUUUGGGUUUCUGUCUCAAUGAAGAACGCCAAAAGUUUUUGAAGAAGACCAUGGCCCGUCGACCGACAGAAGCUUCGGGACCAUAGCUGGGCAUGUUGGGUUCUUGUUCUCCACUUGUUCAAAUGUGCAGAGUGACGGCUUAUUCUCCGUUGCAUCUCUGAAAAGAGGAAGGGAGAUGUCGAAAACUUCUUUAGACACCCAAGAGGCUACAGGAGGUUGUGGGAAGACGAUUUGCUGCUGUGUUUUGAUGAAAUCUCCGUUGGACAUCACAAGUUGCAGGGUGUCGAUGAUGUUGAAGACAUGGCGCAGCUGCUGUCUCUGUUUGGGCUUCCGUCUAACGUCGGCGGUUUAUUGCAAUGUUGCCUUCAUUAGCUAUUUCACACCGCUGCCAUCUUCUUGCUCAAACCUUCGUCAAAUUUGUUGAUGGUCUGGACUGGCGUGCCCAACUACGUCACCUGGUUUCAUCACCUUCGGAUCACGAACUGCACUGCCCUUGGGCUUCUUCCGGAGGACUGACAGAGACGACGGUUGAAAAAUGGUGGUGUUGCCGUAGUGCAGUGAUCACCUAGACCUGGUUGGAACUUCACGGGGUGGUUUAGACCACCCCGAAGAAAUUCAUGGGACUGGGGAUGGGAGAGAAACAAAUUGUUUUUUUUUCUUCUUGCAAAGCCGAGAGAAAGCAUACAAAGAAAGAUUUAGAAGGAUAGAUUUAUACCUUUAAAUGCUUUGUAGCAUUUCCUGCUCUUUGUUCUUGCGGGUAGCACUUGAUAUCUUCUUCUUUUUUCUUCUUUUGUUUCUCUUUUGCCUUUGCUCUCUUGCUUUGCCUCUCAUUCUCUGUUGUCUUCAUUGCGCUUUUCUGUCUCUCAAUUUUUGCAGAGUACCCUUGUCUUUUUUUUUUUUUUUUCUCUUGCUGUAGUUGAUGCCUAUUUAUAGGCAUCCCAAGUAAAGGAUGAUACAUUCCUGAUCUCUUGGGAUUGUUUCCUGUUUCAUCAUGAUUUCCAGAUUUCCCUGUUUUAUUAAAACAUUCCCCUUAUGUAUUCUUUGUAGAUUAAUUAUACUUGUAAAUCAAGUCAUUGUACACUAUUUAAAUCAAUGAUAAUGCACCCUCUAGGGCAUCGAGGGAUUGAGCCAAAAUACCUUCUUUUGAGUUAUCUUUUAUGGUACUCAGAGCCAGUGACUAACGUCUUUUUUUUCUUUUCGGAUUCUUCCUACUCUUCUCCAUGGCUGCCUCAACCAGUUCGACUACUCCUUCCUCCGACAUCUUCCCUUCUGUUUCUCAUGCGAUCUCCAUCAAACUUGACUCUUCCAAUUAUCCUCUUUGGUUGGCUCAGUUGCUACCUGUUCUUCGCAGUCGUCAAUUGUUGGCUUUUGUUGAUGGUACUUCCAUCUGCCCCUCGGCGUUCUUGUCCGACGAUACCGGCAACGCCUCUUCCAAACCCAACCUCGCGUAUGCUGACUGGGUUCAGAAGGACCAGCUUGUUCUUUCUUGGAUCAAUGGCUCUCUUGGUCACCAGGCCCUCGCCGCCACUGCUCGUCAUUCCACUGCCCGUGAUGUUUGGGUUGCUCUUCAGCAGCGUUUUGCUUCUACAAACCAAAGUCGCAUUCUUCAGCUUCGUACUGCUUUCUUCCAGACCAAACGAGGUGAUUCUUCAAUUUCUGACUUUCUUGAUAAGAUCAAUGGUAUUGCCGAUCAAUUGGCCCUUGCCGGGGCACCUGUUUCUGCUGAUGACAUGGUGCCGGUCGUCAUGUCUAAUGUCGGCCCCAAAUUUGAGAACACUGUUGCUGCUGCUCAGGCCCGUGACAACCCCAUCUCCCUUUCUGAUCUUGAGGCUCUUCUUCUCGUUGCUGAACUCCGCCUUGCUGAUCCUCCUGCUCCGCCGGACUCCAGCGUCUCGGCCCUGGUAGCCUCCCGCGGCUCUUCUGCCUUUCAUGGCCGCUCCUCUUCUGAUCGCGGCGGCGAUCGUGGCUCUGGCCGUUUCUCACGUGGGGGUGGUCGUCCUCAACAUGAUGGGUCUCGCAACAAUGGUGGUGACGGCUAUCGUGGCUAUCGCGGUGCUGGUGGUUUCCAUGAUCGUCCGUUUCGCGAUCGUGGUGGUGGUCGUCCUCAGCACGAUGGCUCUCGCUUCCGUGGCUCCAACAAUGCUUCUGGGGUUCUUGGUCCAGCCCCAUAUCACGGUUCCUCCCGUCCUCGCUGCCAUAUUUGCAAUACUUUUGGUCAUGGUGCUCUUGACUGUGCUCAACGUCUUAAUUUGGCUUAUGAAGGUCGUCCUCCUUCUUCCCGUCUCACUGCCUUGACUGCUCAGCACUCCCAGCCUUGGCUCAUUGAUUCCGGGGCAAACUCGCAUAUCACCAAUGAUCUCAAUACUUUGUCUCAGUCCCGUGAUUAUCGUGGUGGUGAUUCCGUCGGUGGUGUCGUUGGCGGUACAGGUUUGCCCAUUAACCGUAUUGGCUCCUCCACUCUCUCUCAUAAUAAUAUUUCUUUCAAGCUUAAUGAUGUUCUUCAUUGUCCGGAUGCUUCUACUUCUGUGUUGUCUGCUAAUCGGUUUAUGUUGGAUAAUAAUUGUUAUAUUACAUUGUUUCCUUCUUGUUUCUAUAUUCAGGAUAUGGAGACGGGGACGAUUCUUUUUUCGGGCAAGAGUAGCAAUGGCUUUUAUCCCUUUUCCUCUUCAUCACCGACUGCUCAUGGUCGUGCUGCUUUUCUUGGUGUUCGUGUUGGUAGUGAUGUCUGGCACUCUCGUUUAGGCCAUCCAUCUUCUUCCAUUUUAAAAUUUCUUUUUUCUAGGCAUUCGAAUAAGUUGCCUGUUUCUGGCAACCUCAAUCUCAAUACUUUUAUGUGUCAUUCUUGUCCUUUAGGCAAAAGUGUUAAGUUACCUUUUUCUGCAUCAUUGUUUGUUACUCAAGCUCCUCUUGAGCUUAUUCACUCCGACGUGUGGAGUGCGUCCAAUAAAUCUGUUAGUGGUUUCCAAUAUUAUGUUCUUUUUGUUGAUAAUUUCUCUCGUUAUUCUUGGAUUUAUCCCAUGAAAUUGAAAUCUGAAGUCUUUAAUAUUUUUACUCACUUUAAGACCUUGGUUGAAAAUCAAUUCUCCACUAAAAUUAAGAUGUUUCAGUCCGAUGGUGGGGGCGAAUACACUAGUCACCAAUUCAAGAAUUUUUUUCUUCACCAUGGUAUUCAUCAUCGUCUCUCAUGCCCUCACCAUCCCGAACAAAAUGGUUUGGCGGAACGCAAACAUCGUCACAUUGUCGACACUGGACUUACUUUAAUGGCCCAUGCGUCGAUGCCUCCUGCCUAUUGGGCUAAGGCCAUGCACACAGCAGUUUAUCUUCUCAAUCGCCUCCCCUCUAAAGUACUUGGUUUUAUGUCUCCUUAUCAAAAGUUGUUUCUUAAGGAACCUGAUUAUAGUUUUUUAAAGACCUUUGGGUGUGCAUGUUUUCCCCACCUACGACCCUAUAAUAAUAAUAAACUCCAGUUUCGUUCUACUAAAUGUGUUUUUCUUGGUUACUCUCUCAAUCAUCAAGGUUCUCGGUGCUUAGACAUCUCUACUAACCGCAUCUUUUUAUCACGCCAUAUUGUGUUUGAUGAAGGUAAUUUUCCUUUCAAGGCCAUCUCUGGCUCUCUUGCCCCAUCCUCCCCGGCCUCGUCUCCUCCUCCUGUUUUAGAAAUCACUGGGCCUCUUCCGCAUGCCCCCCGACCGUCUAGCAGCCAACCGGUGGUUGUGUCCCCCUCUUUGGAGACUCAUCAAUCCAGUCCAUCAUCCGACCCACCACAGCCGGCCCUACAGGUUUACUCCCGUGACCCUCACAGGCGGGUUCUUUCUUUUGCACAAGCAGCAACCCCAUCUGUCACUCCCAGGCCCACGCCUGCUGUUGCCUCUGCAGUUCAACCUGAUGCGCCUCCCGAGGCUCCAUCUGCUGCUGUACCACCUGCCGUGCCCUCUACUUCCCAUGGUAUGCUCACUAGGUCCAAAACGGCUUCUCUUAAGCCUCAUAAAUAUGUUUUUUCUGCUGCCAUUUCUUCUUCUACCGGUCCUAUUGAGCCUACUUGUUUUAGUCAGGCCAACACUUUUCCCGAAUGGCGUACUGCGAUGGCCGAUGAAUUUAAUGCACUUCAACGUGCUGGUACUUGGACUCUUGUUCCUCGUACCGCUUCUAUGAAUAUUUUGCCAAACAAAUGGGUGUUUCGUAUUAAACAGAAUUAUGAUGGGUCUAUUCAGCGGUAUAAGGCUCGUUUGGUAGCCAAUGGUUUUCAUCAGCAACCCGGCCUUGAUUAUGGUGAAACUUUUAGUCCUGUUGUCAAUCACUCUACUAUUCGCUUAAUUUUGGCUCUUUCAGUUCAGUUUCAAUGGCCUGUUCGUCAGUUGGAUGUUCAGAAUGCUUUUCUUCAUGGCUCUUUGUCUGAGGAGGUCUAUAUGCACCAACCUCGUGGCUUUGUUGAUCCACAGUUCCCUCAUCAUGUGUGCCGCCUUCGUCGUUCUUUAUAUGGGCUCAAGCAGGCGCCCCGUGCAUGGUUCCAAUGUUUUUCCACUCAUUUGGAAGAUUUGGGUUUUCGUCCCUCUACUGCGGAUCACUCGCUUUUUACCUAUAUUCAUGGCUCUACUCGCAUUUAUCUCUUAAUUUAUGUUGAUGAUAUUUUGGUCACCGGGAAUAAUCCCUCAUAUUGUCACCCUCAUUAAGAAUUUGGGCAUCCGUUUCUCUAUGAAGGACCUUGGACCGGUUCAUUAUUUCUUAGGCAUGGAGGUGGUCCGCACUCCAUCAGGUCUCUCUCUUUCCUAACAAAAGUAUGCCACUGACCUACUUCACCGCACCAAAAUGCAUGGUGCUAAGCCGGUUCCUACUCCUGCCGUUAGUGGGCGACGGCUCAGUCUUCAGGAUGGUGACCCUCUGCCGGAUCCUAUUGAAUACCGAAGUGUUGUCGGCGCCCUUCAAUACUUGACUCUCACUCGUCCCGACAUCAACUUCGCCGUCAACCAAGUCUGCCAAUUUCUUCACCAGCCGACUUCUACUCAUUGGGCCGCCGUCAAACGCAUUCUUCGUUACCUUGUCGGCACUACUUCUCACGGUCUUACCUACAAGCCUGGUUCCUUUCGUCUUACAGCAUUUUCCGAUGCCGAUUAUGCCGGGAUCCUGAUGAUCGGCGUUCCACCGGGGGCUAUUGCUUGUAUCUGGGUUCCAAUCUUGUCUCAUGGAGUGCCAAGAAACAAAAUGGGGUCUCUCGGUCCAGCACUGAAGCCGAGUAUCGUCAACUUGCAAUCACCGCUGCCACUCUUUCAUGGUUUCGUAUGCUGUUCCGUGACCUCCAGUUUCCUCUACAUUGUCCUACACUGUUUUGUGACAAUAUCAGUGCUAUAUCCCUUGCUUCCAACCCGGUGUUUCAUGCCCGCACUCGGCAUGUUGAGGUGGAUUACCAUUAUGUUCGUGAAAAGGUUGUUCGCAAGGAGAUUGAUGUUCGUUAUCUUUCUACUCAUGAUCAGAUUGCUGACUUCUUCACCAAGGGCCUUUCUCUUCCUCGUUUUCGACUUCUGGUUUCCAAGCUUCCUGUACUUGAUUGUACUGUCAGCUUGCGGGGGCGUAAAGGAUGAUACAUUCCUGAUCUCUUGGGAUUGUUUCCUGUUUCAUCAUGAUUUCCAGAUUUCCCUGUUUUAUUAAAACAUUCCCUUUAUGUAUUCUUUGUAGAUUAAUUAUACUUGUAAAUCAAGUCAUUGUACACUAUUUAAAUCAAUGAUAAUGCACCCUCUAGGGCAUCGAGGGAUUGAGCCAAAAUACCUUCUUUUGAGUUAUCUUUUCCCAAGAAGGCUCUAGAAUUUGUUACGUGGGGGAAGAUGGAGACCAUGACCUCCUGCCACUUUCUGUUAACCCCCUUUUCUGACUCCACGUUUCUUUUUGUUGCAGAAAAUGGGGGAGCACCUGUUUUUUGCACGUUACUUCCCCCCUUAUGUAGGAAAAAAAUUAUAAAUUUUUUAUUUAUUCCUGAAUGUAUUUGUAUGUAAAGCUCAUCCUCAUCUUUUGGGUUGGAUUACAUUUUUGUUUUACCUUGAAGUUUGACUCAAUUUGAAUGGACUUUAUUUUUUCAUAUUUUUUUUGUUCAACAAGCGUAGUUUUCUUUUUCUUUUUCUCUGUGAAAUAUAUAGUAUGAAGAGGGUGGAAAUGGGUCGGGGCUUACAUUUCCUUCACUUUCUGCCAAAAGAUUGUUCCGAACCACACUGAUAGAGCGAAAAUAAACGCGAAACGUGCUAGAUUGUACUUUGGACUUCUCCAGUGGGACAAGUGUUGUUUCCACAGACAUGCCUUAAACUGCACCCAGCUAUUUUGAGCAAAAGGAGUGGGAAGGUUCAAGCCCCUUGAACCCGGCUUUGGUUCGCUCAACCGGCUAACCAACUCGACCGUGUCUCUCUGAAAAAGAAGGAAACAAACAUAUAAAUUUGAUGAUUGAAAUAAAUACAUGAUUAAUCCUAAAAUAAUGGAAAUAUUAGAGAUAUGCCCUUACCUAUACUGAGUAGAGGGUUUAUAAAUUUCAGCAAAAUCUAAACAAAGUUUUGCCUCUACUGAGGCAGAAGUAACUUCUAACAUCCAAGUUGCUGGAUUGUAAUUUUCUUUGAUCUUUGGUACAUCACGAAUAUCCUCAAAAUAUUUGACGAGUUUACUCGAGUGAUGACCGAGAACUCCAGAAUAGAUGAUUUGGCCUCCCCUUUUCAUCAAAAGUAACUGCAAAAAUCAAUGUCUUCCGUUAGUGAUCGAGUGGCUUUUAUGAUUUGGUUUAGUUUUCUUGGACUCCAUGACAAUGCUCGUUAUACUACCUCGUCAAAUGACUGAAAAAUAUCAAUGCUUGGCUUGUGGAUUGUGCAAACAGUUGUCCUUCCUGUGGAAACAACAUUCUUUACUACGCAAAUGGCAAUUGCAGCUGCUCUGGCGUCUAAGCCUGACGUAGGUUCAUCCAUAAAUAUUAUUGAUGGGUUGGAUACAAGCUCCACUGCAAUUGUUAGCCUUUUGCGCUGUUCAGUAGAUAGGCCAGUUUGUCCAGGAAUGCCAACUAAGGAAUCUCUUAUAUCCUCCAGUUCAAUCGUUUGAAUGACUUCCUCCACAAAUUUCUGCAUAGAUUAAGCAAAGGAUACUUUCUUUUAUAUGUUCCAGGAAAUUUGCAUAUUAUUGAUAAAUUGAAAGAAUAUCAUCCUACAGCUUUUAUGUCUGGAUCAGUUUCGUGUGGCAACCUCAACCAAGCUGAGAACAUAAGCGAUUCUUCUACCGUGAUCUGUGGAGAAUGUAUAUCAGUCUGCUCGCAGUAUCCUGAUAUUCUUGCAAAUGUCUUCUGGACCUUGGGGUACCCUCCGAUUCUUAUAUCUCCCACGAUACUACCUCCUGUUUCCCUUCCAGAAAGAACAUCCAUGAGAGUUGUUUUUCCAGCCCCAUGCGGUAGGAAUUCCUGGACUGAAUGCUCCUGUUAUAUCUUUAAGCAACUGAAGCUUUUUCUCCUUGAAAGCAUGCUGUCUCAUUUCCUUUUUUAAGAAGGAAUGAAGUUAAAAUACAACUAAAUAGUUUUCCAAUGAUACUAAUAUGUGAAAAUUGACUAAUGAUUUGAUUAAUUACCGGAGGUGUAUCAACAUAAUACUGCACGUCCUUAAAUGAGAUUGUCAGUGGCUCGAACGGCAGGACCAUUCUCCCUGUUUAACAAAUUGAUUUACUCUCGAAUAAUUCAGUUGUUAAAAAAAUUCCUUGCUCGUUGCUUUGAAUGGAAAAUGUGAAACUGAUAACCCGGAUAAACUGGAUGCAACAAUUCAUCUCACCUAGUGUUAUCUUUUCUCCCAUGGUUUUGAAUAAAUCGGAUAGAGUUGAUUCAUUUUCCAACGGUGCACCAGUUUGGGUUAAUAUUUAACAUUGGGCUUAUAGGAGAGAAAGCCCAAAAGAGUUCAAUAAGAAGAGUUUCGUCCGAAGCCCAGCACCAAGCCCAGACCGUCCAUCUCAAGACCAAUUGGCACUCUCCUAUUAAUGCAAAGGCUAAGUGCUUACAAGAGAAGUGACAACUGAUGAAAAUCAACCUACUCUCAGCCCAAAAGUACUUUUCAGUGGCAAUACAAGUAAAAUAUUGAUGAGUCACUACCAUUCAAUUGCUUUUGGGUAAGAACAAAGCUACAAGCGGUCGGACUAAUUCGUUUAUAAAAGGAGGAAGAGGGCUCAGAGACAAGGACACUCAAUCAAUCAAACAUACAACUUGUCUCUCAUCCAAGCAAAUACCCAGAAAGCUGUGCUUUGUCCAGACUCUGCACCCUUUUAGCCUUAGAUUUCCUUAGAAAGACAUCUUUUUUCUAUGUAAAAGCUCUGCUACAUUUUUCUAAAUGUUGUAGUAUCGAUCCCUCGUGUAUAAACUCGUUUCCAGUCAUCUCCUUUAGUACUCAAUUCUUUUGUAAACUGCAAAGAGAAGAGAUCGCAAGGCGUUUAACCUUGCUUGACAAAGUGAAAUCUUGCCCAACUCUCUUUGUUUUUAUCUUUCAAUUAACAAAUAUGGUGUUAUAAUGUAUUCCGUAGUUUAUAUUCAAGUUAUUUCCAGUCCUUUGAUGACCCAAAGCCCCAUCAGUUCUCAGAUCUGGUUCACUUAGUGGUUUUAUCAAGAAUUGAAAUGAAUUAAACUGAUGACUUGAUCAGAUCUAAGCCUUCACCCCUCAAGCAUACAAAAUAACUAAAAGUCUUUGAUCUCAAGGCAUAGAAAAUAACUUAAUGUAGACUUAAUCCAUCUACAACAAUCCUUUGAUAAACAAGAAGUCAGAAAUAACUUGGGGUGCAAGUAAUCGGCUUAAAACACACUUGUUCUACAUCUGCCAUACAGAGAUGGCAGUGGCACGCCUAAGCACCUAGUUAGUUUUGAAUGCGAGCCUCAAGGCCUAUACCUAAGGCCCCACAAAGGCACCUUUCAGAACUAACUUUGUUUUCCUCUUGCAGUAUUGUGACAAGCAGGAGCCCAACAAUCAACCAAAGUGCCAACUCCUCGGGCAGCUGUGUGCUCGAGCCAGGAACGCCCACCAACCAGAUUUCCUGCCCAAAAAGCACCAGUUUUGCGAGCUCCCCUUCUUCAAAGUUGAGAUAAUCUUUUUUUCGAAACAAUAGCCCGAUACACCUUUGGAGCUGUAUGAGGAAAAGCUUAAGUAAACUGAUGUGGAGCUGUAUGAGGAAAAGCUUAAGUAAACUGAUGAAGUGGAUUGUAAUACUUAAGUUAUCAUCUGUCAAUUAAAAUGAAUCUAAGUAAGUUAAUGCUAAAAUAAAUCCAAGAUCAGACAGCAUUGUGAACCCGAGUAAUGCUCCUACUGAUAUCCAAUAGAAAUAGCCAUCAAAGUUCAAACCAUGCCUGGUUAGAACUUUAUUCCCUAGGGUUGUGUUUCCCUCUGAGACCUAAAGAAAUGAAUUAACACUGUCAAAACACUUAUUCGACUUCGAUGAUCGGGUACUAAAAAAGUUUAUCAUCUUGAGUUGUACCUUUUGCCAGCGAGGAGCGAGGAACUCGUUUAGAGUUGUACCGAUUUCCCCAUAAGUCAUAGGUGAACACCAGAAUAGUCAACGCAACCAAGGAGGUAAAGAGGCUGCAAAACACCCCUUAUUAGUCUAGUUGUAGUUGAAUGUAACUAAAGGAAAAAUACGAUAAAUGGACUUACAUCGUGGCAAGAUGAAGCCUCCGGAUAAAAACAUUAGCACUAGGAUUAAAAUACCGCAAGUUGAUGCAACAACCAUAGUUUGGAAAACUACAGCAAUUAAACGACAUAUGGAUGUCGAUGCUUGAUGGAGAGCAAAUAGCACAAGGAACUGGAAGAAGAACCUAAAAACCAUAGCAUAUUCUUGAGGCAUUAUUAUGAUUAUUGUUCAAGCCUUUCAUGUUCUGUCGUGUGACUAUAAAGUUGAGAUCUUACGUUUUUAUGUCUGGAGCGUACCCAAUCAAAUGGUAAGUUAUUGCUGUCCACAGCAGUGAAUCAAUCACUGAAAAUGGAACCUUCAGGAUAGACUGGAAGAGAAUACGCCCAUGCUGGAUACAGAUUGAAUCCUCUUUGCUUGUAAACCACUGGUAAUCUAGUAACAGUCACAGCUCUGCAAUUCCGUUGGUCAUAAGUCGAAUAAGUGUAUAAAACAAUGAGUUCAUAAAAAAACUUGCAUUUAUCAAAUCCACGGUCCUACGGGUGCUUAUACAGAUUGCCAUUGUAAUAAAUGCAGUGAUGACAAGCUGUGGGAAAAAAAGAGAGAAAAUAUAGUAAGUGAUUUUGAGUUUAACUUCAGAAGUACAACCCCUAAAAGUGAUAUCAUUAGGCAGUAAACCUGAGCUGUUUUGAAUACGUAGAGAAAGGAAUUCCGUUUCAUGAGAAGAAGCUCUCGGGCCAUACAACCUUUGAACAACUCCCAUUUGCUCACAGAGUAAGUACUAAAUGAUAAGGCAUUAUCAUGGCACUGUGAUUUAUUGUAUGGUUUUGAGAGCUCAUCGUCUAAUUUCUUCCCCGAGUAACUUGCUCUGAAAAGUUCAAAAAAUUUGUUUGCAGAAACAUGACCGUAGGGAAUGUUAUCAUGCUUCCAGUAUUGUGCUUGAUCCUUCUUUGAGAUCACCUCUUGAAGGAAAUCUGCAGCACCCUUUCUUGGUGGGCACUUGAAACCAGAGUCUUCGAAAAACUCAACUGCGUGGCUGCGAUGACCGUGGUAAACUAUCUUCCCCUCUGCCAUUAGUAUUACAUCAUAAAAAAUAUCAAUGGUCUCGGGUGCUGGUUGGAGAAGUGAUACCAAUGCAGUUGUAUCUGUGAUAUGCACCAGCUGCUGAAGAUAGGUAACUAUCUGAAAGGUUGUAGAACUGUCUAAUCCCGUUGAUAUCUCAUCCAUAAAAAGAGCUUUUGUAGGACCUACAAUCAUUUCUCCUGAAGAUUAAACAGAAGAGGAAUGUUAUGUUUGAAACAUUUUUCUACAUGGGAAUUAGUAAUUACAUUCAAAUUUCCCUCGGAUUCAAGAUUUCACUACCGGUUGUCAGCCUUUUCUUCUGGCCACCAGAAAUGCCUCUUCUUAAUGCAUCACCAACCAUUGUGUCACUCACUACACAUACCCAGUCCAAGUAUCUAAAGAGAUUCCAAAAUAUCGUAAUUCAUUUUUCCUGUCCGAGUGAGUUAGAAAUGUCACGUUUGAACUACUUAAUGUCAGCAUUGUCCAUGUCCAACACUGGUUGGAGAAAAAUUUACCUUCAAAACAUAAUCGGUUUGGAGAUUUUCCCUUUGUCCUUCAACUGAAAUGGCCUGUGAGUAUUAUGUAAAUCUCUAAAACCUCUAACACAAAAGGGUGGUAAGAUUUACUAAAAGGAAUGUUAUGAGACUUUACAAUUACCUUCAUGUAGGUGUCAAUAUCUGGAUCGGGGACUAUUCCUGCUUCUUUUUCCCUUCUGCUGAGCUCCAUUAUUAUAUAUGCAUAAAAUACGAUCGAAAUUAAACUUCAUACGUCAAUAGAAGUACACGACUAACCCAAUAGUAAAUGCAAUAGGGGAUAAGGAAUAUGCACCAGCUCUACUGCCAACACCCUGGCAGCGGGAGGAAAAGUCAAUUGUUUCCCUCAGUCAUCUCAGGCAGGUGAAGGUCAUGCUGGCUAAUGUAAGCUGAUGUUUUUUGGGGAACAAACUCAUCUAGCUUGUAACCAUUAUAAGUGUUGUAAACUGAAAUAGAAAGGAACGAAGUUACCUAAAAAAAUGUAGAAGCCUUGAGUGGUGAAUGAUUAUUGGGAUGAGUUGCGGACUAAGUCGCUUUCUUUAAGACGUUUCGCGGCUCUACCCAAAGUGUGCAAGCAGUUCACAAACACCACAUCGUCCUAGGAUAAAACAGCCCAAAACCUUCUUCUUCUUCUUCUGAUAAAGUUCUUCCUUGUACAGUAGAAGAACCUUCGAAUUCACAUUCUCUCAAUAUGUUGCUAACCAAAACUAUAUAUUAGAAAAUAUAUCUUCUUUUUUUUCCGCAUACUUUCAAUGAUCCAGGGACUACUAUAUAUACAUUUAGACGAAAGAGAUGUUGAGGGUUUGAGAAAAUUGAAAGCAGGACAAAAUCAAAACGUAAGUCAAAUAAAACGGUUUGAUUAUGUAUCAUGACAUGAUCUUCUUCUCUAUACAAAGAAGGAAUGGCACGUUUCAAACUUAAAAGGAGAUAACUCCUUACCUAAUUGAAAAGUCAAAAUCAAUUGGCAGUUAUGCAUAGAAUAUUGGUAAUAAAACAAAACGUUAUGUAUAUAAUAUUGGUAAUAAAAUAAAACAUAAAUAUAUUUAAAUAUUUAAAUAAAAACAUAUUUACUCAACAAUCCCCCACUUGUUUUUGUUUAAAACUAUACAUCAAGCAAUAUAUCGUAAAGCUAUACAGAAGUAAAUGUGUUUCUCAACUUAAAUCUAUACAUAGUGUUAGUGAUCGAGAUUAUACUAGAGUAACUUAUAGUUUUGAACUCUAUCCCUAACAACACCACACACACAACUUUAUUAAGGUGAAGUUCAAAAAGCCAGCACAUUACAACCAUGUGCUUGUAUCCCAGUAUAGUGAACGCUCUAGAAACUUGCUCAAGAUUUCAUAGGAAGCGGCAUCACUUCCACAUUCACAUAGUUAAGACUAUCAAGGUAUUCCUGUAGCUAGAUAUCUCACUUAACAUAGAGUAUAGACCUUACUAAGAGAAAAAAAAAUCUCAACCUAAAUACGCUUCAGGAUGUCAUGCUUCUUAGGGAUGGACAUGGAAUAAUAUUCCAAACUAAAAUUAGCAAGACUUCACUCUUAUCACUUGUGACUUGUUAUUACCCUUUGAACCUAUUUCUUGGGAUCUCUAGUCUAUAGGUUGGGUUGCUAUCACAAAUAACUCAAUUCUCUAGGGCUUUAGUCCCAUCCCUUUCGAGGUUUUCCAAACCUUUUCUCGUGCUAGUCCUUUUGUCAAAGGAUCAACCAAGUUUUCUUCAUACCGUAUAUGAUCCACUCUCACAGCUCCAUUAGACAGGUAAUCUCUUACAGUGAUGUGCUUACGACGUAUUUGUCGCCCUUUCCCAUUAUAAUAAUGAUUUUGCACUUUAGCUAUUGCCGAUGUGCUAUCACAAUGGAUCAAAACUGCUGGAAUCGGUUUCUCCCAUAAAGAGGUAUCUGACAGUAGGUUUCUCAACCAUCCUGCUUCUUCGCUUGUCGUAGCUAGCGCUAUUAAUUCUGACUCCAUAGUGGACUGAGCCAUGAUAGUAUGUUUCUUAGACUUCCAUGAUACAACCCCACCACCAAGACUAAAAAUACAUCCACUAGUGGCUUUAGAGUCAUCUGAAAGGGUAUUCCAAUCAGCGGCACUGCAACCUUCUAGGACAGCGGGAAACUUCUCAUAGUGUAAUCUAAAAUUCAUUGUCCUUUUAAGGUAUCUCAUAAGCCUAUCUAUGGCAUGCCAAUGCUCCAAACUAGGUCUACUAGUAAACCUGCAUCAAACUCCUACGACAUAAGAUAUAUCAGGCCUAGUGCAAUCAGUAGCAUAACGAAUGCUACCAAUAAUACUCGCAUACUCAGAUUGUUUAACACUGUCACCAAUGUUCUUGAACAAUUUUACACUAGGAUCAUGAGGAGUACAUGCUGGUUUACAAUCAAAAUAAUUAUACUUUCUUAAAAUUGUUUCUAUGUAGUGAGAUUGAUCUAAAGAAAACCCAUGUUCAAACCUAGUUAUUUUCAAACCAAGUAUUACGCUAACUUCACCCAAGUCUUUCAUAUCAAAAUUAGCAGAUAACAAAGAUUUGACAUUAUUCACAACAUGAAUAUUCGAACCAAAAAUAAGCAAAUCAUCCACAUAUAGGCAUAUAUUACUUUCAGACUUAUAAUAGAUGCAUUUGUCACUUUCAUUUAUUUUAAAACCAUUUGAAGUAACCAAACUAUCAAAUUUUGCAUGCCAUUGUGUGGGAGCCUGUUUCAAUCCAUAAAGUGACUUAUUUAACUUGCAAACUUUAUUUUCUUUUCUUGGAAUAAUAAAACCUGUGGUUGACCCAUAUAUAUUUCUUCCUCUAAUUUACCAUUUAAGAAAGCUGUUUAACAUCCAUUUGGUGCACAACAAGAUCAUGAAUAUAAGUUAAGGCAAACAAUACACGAAUAGAUGUUAUUCUAGUCACAGGUGAACAAAUAUAAAAGAAAUCAAUCUUUUCUCUUUGUCUAUAGCCUUUGGCAAUAAGUCGGGCUUUAAAAUUUUCAACUGAUCCAUCAGGUUUUAAAUUUUUUUUAAGAAUCUAUUUGCAACCUAUUGUUUUGCAACCAGGUGGAAGAUCCACCAAGUGCCAAGUUUGAUUUGACUCCAGGGAGUCCAUUUCAUCAUUUAUAACUUCUUGCCAAAAAAUUGCAUCUAAAGAAGUUAAAGCUUCUUGAAUUGUAUUAGGAUCUUCUUGUAAGUUAUAUACAUGGAAAUCAGGGCCAAAAUCUUUAGCUAUUCGAGCUCUUUUACUUUUCCUAGGUUCUAAUGCAGAUUGACUAUGUUUUACAACAUUAGGUUCAUAAAUUUUAGAAGAAUUAGAACCCCCACUAUUUUGAAGAUUAAAAGGAAAUUUAUUCUCAUAAAAAUCAGCAUCAAGUGACUCAAUUAUGACAUGGUUUUUCAAAUCAUAACAUCUAUAUGCUUUGCUAUUACAUGCAUAACCAAUAAAAACACAUUCAUAUGCUCUACUAGCCAAUUUCGAUCUUUUUGGACCAAGUUUACGAACAUAAGCUAAACAACCCCAAGUUUUGAAAUACAAUACAUUUGUUUUCUUAUUUUUCCAAAUUUCAUAAGGAGAGAUAUUCGAUUCUGAGGUAGGAAUUCUAUUUAAUACAUAACAUAUAGUCAACACAAUUUCACCCCACCAAUAAGAAGCAGCUCCAGAACUAAGUAGCAACACUCAAUUCGCAAAGAGUUCGAUUUUUUCUUUCCGCUUUACCAUUCAUUUCAGGAGAAUAAGGAGCAGUAGUUUCAUGAAUAAUUCCAUUAGACUUAAACAAAUUAACAAAUUCAAUGGAUUCAUAUUCUUGUCAUCUAUCACUACGAAAUCUUUUAAUCUUAUGAUUAAACUGAUUUUCAACUUCAGUAAAGAAAGUUUUGAACAUGUCAAUAGCUUUACUUUUAUUUUUCAUAAGAUAGACAAAACAGUAAUUCAAACAAUCAUCAAUAAAGGUAAUAAAAUAACGUUUUCCAUUUCUAGUUAACACUCUAUCAAAUUCGCAUAUAUCAGAAUGAAUUAAGUCAAGUGGUUCAGAUUCUCUAUUGACAGAUUUAUGUGAAGUUCUAGUGAUUUUAGCUUGACUACAAUAUUCACAUUUUUCAAAAUCAGUCAACGAUAAGUUAGGUAAAAAGCCUAAGUUACUCAUGUUCUUAACCAAGAGUUUGUUAACAUGACAAAGUCUAGCAUGCCAAGUAUUAAAAGAAGACAACAUGUAAUCAGAAGUAGACAUUUUAUCAACAUUCAAUUUAAACAUUCCAUUAGUAGCAUAUCCCUUUCCCACAAAAACCCCAUUUCUAGUAAGAGUAUACGUAUUUGCUCCAAACGUUUGAGUGAAUCCAGCCUUGUUGAGAAGUAAGCCUGAGACCAAAUUCUUCCUUAUUGUUGGAGCAUGCAUCACAUCUUUCAGUAUCAUGGGUUUUCCAGAGGUGAACUUUAACUCCACCUCUCCAGUACCAGCAACAUCAGUUGAGUGCGAAUCACCCAACAACACAUUUCUUCCCUCAGCCAUAGAAUAGGUCUUGAAAAGAGAACGAUCGUAGCAAGCAUGGGGAGAAGUGCCAGUGUCCACCCACCACCCACCACCCCUCGGACUAAGUUGAUUUCUGAUAUCAUUGCAAUUAGUUGCUCUUCAACAAGAUUUGUUUGAGAAGCAAAGUUUUCCUUAUAAUGCAUGGCAGAUUGAAUUCAUCUUAAAAUUGUUGUAAACUGAAAUAGAAAGGAACGAAAUUACUCAAAAAAAAUGUAGAAGCCUUGAGUGGUGAAUGAUUCUUGGGAUGAGUCAGGGACUAAGUCACUUUCUUUAAAACAUUUUGCGGCUUUGCCCAAAGUGUGCAAGCAGUUCACAAACACCACGUCGUCCCCAGGAUAUAACAUCCCAAAACCUUCUUCUUCUGAUGAAGUUCUUCCUUGCACAGUGGAAGAACCUUCGAACUCACACUCUCUCUCAAUAUGUUGCUAACCAAAACUAUAUAUCAGAAAAUAUAUCUAUUUUUGUUCCGCAUACUUUCACUACUAAAUAUACAUUUAGACGAAAAAGACGUUGAGAGUUUGAGAAAAUUGAAAGCAGGAAUAAAACGGUCUUAGGUCCGAUUCUCGCCGAAGGCGAAUUUGAACCACUAAACCGUAGCACUAAGUGGCUCCUAACAAUGUCUCUUAACAAGUUUAGAGGUAUUUGUCUUCACUAAUAAAUGAAAAGCGUUUGAAUUUCAUGAAUGACAAGUGCAAUACAAAAUUCAAAUUAUCAUGGUUCUUCCAUUAUAUGAUUUAACCAAAGCAUACCAUCUCUUAGUGUAAAUAUAUCAUUGAACUAUCAUUGAAGUAGUUCCAACAUUCGUAUACCAUCUUAAUUAUCAAUUUACUAUUACAAAAUUUCUAUUAAUUUUUCUUUACAAACUAAAGUGUUAUUAGGCUAAGUUGUUAAAUAUUAGGAGAUGAGUAGGGAUCGACCCACCGCCAAAGUACAUAUAUAGGUAUUACUGUUUUCUGCUACUAUGAUAAAGUGUAAUAUACUUCUAUAUAUUAAAAGAAAAUUCACUGAUACAUUUCCACAUGUAAACAUUCAACAUUGGACAUAUAUAAUAUUUUUCCCUACUUCUUUGGAAAUUUAAUUUUCCAAUGCAAUAGGCAAAUAGGGAAACAAAGACAAUCCCAACUGGGAAAGCAAUGAGAACAAGAGCCACAAGGCCUAAACAAUCAUGGUGGAAACCAUAAUAAUCUUGUAGGAUUAUUUUCUAUUUAAAAAACGUAUGUGAACAUACACAUUAUUUUCUAUUAUAAUAUGUGUAAGUUUAUGAAGGGAAAUAUUCACUAAAAUGAUCAAAAAUCAAAUUCUGAUGCCAAAACAAAAUCAAAUAUUGUCAUACUGAAAAACUAAUCAUUUCAACAAAUGAGAUUCAAAUAUUUGAUUAUUUUGGCCAAUUUUCCUGUAUUGAUACCCUAACCUAAAGUAUAAAUUACUUGCACAUCCAAAUUAUAACACAUGAAUUAACAACACUCCGUCAAUUAGACUUGUGUUACAUGUAUUUACACGGUUAUUGUCAUUCCAAGUGCUCAAAUGCUAAUGGAGUUACACAAAACCAUCAAAUAUUAGAAAAGAUUGGAUUCAAGAUAUACUAAGUAUAAUGUACAGAAUGUUGCAUAUAAAGUACCAGAAAACUUUAGUAGGUGACCAAGAGAACCCUAUUGCAGGAUAUGCAACGGCUACAUACAAAACUUGUAACAUUGUAUAAUGUAUUUUAAUGGCAACAUGCAACAUUUAACACUUUACACUAUAUUUGGAUGAGGAAGUUUAAGAUUGCUAAGGAAAUUUAAAGUAACGGAAAUUGAAAUGAUGGAAUUUUAUUUUAUAGAAUAUGUGAAUUUUCUUGUUUGGUUGAGGAAAAUAAACUUGGAAUUUAGAUAAAAGUCAGAAUUUGUAAAUUGACAUGCACCAGUUUCCUUGUUUGGAUUCAUAAACAUAUAUAGGAAUUUAGAAUUUUCGGGUGAAAAAAAAACUUGGAAUUUGGGACCUCCAAUUCCCAAGUUUAAAUUCCAUGUAAAUAUGUAUCAUUUCCCAAUUUCUAUGAUUGAGUGCUUAAAAAUAACAAAUUCCGUAAUCAAUUCCAUUUAUUUUUAGGUUAACCAAACAAGAGAAUUCACAAAUUCUAGAAAAUAAAAUCCUGUCAAUUCAAUUUCCGUCAUUUUAAAAUUCCUUAGUAAUCUUAAAUUUCUUCAUCCAAACAUAGUGUUAAGAACAAUGGAAUUUGAAAUGAAAUUUGUUAUUUUAAACCCUCAUUCAUGAAAAUUCAGAAAUGACACCAAUUUACAUAGAAUUUAAAAUGGGAAUUAGAUGUCCCAAAUUCCAAGUUUUUUUCUCAUGCAGAAAUUCUAAAUUUCUAUGUUUAUGAAUCCAAACAAGAGAAUUGGUACAUGUUAAUUUUUAAAUUCCAGCUUUUAUCAAAAUUCCAAGUUUAUUUCCCUCAUCCAAACAUAGUGUUAGUUUAAAACUGUGAAGAUUUUGAUUUAUCGAUUACAAACUAAAUAAGUACUUGAAUUCUUAGGCACUUCAACGUAUGAACUUGUGCAAAUGAACAAGGUCGGCCCUGAGAUUUUGAAGGCCCGAGCUAAGCUACCAAAUAGGAGCCCUUUAAUUCUUAGGCACUCCAAUUGGUUGUAGGUUCAUAUACAUUUUAUUUUUAUAGUAAAUACUCAUUAAUUUAUUAUUAUAUCGUACUCUUAUUUAAUUAAUAAUCAACAAUAUGCUAAAGUUUUAAGAAGGUGUUUGGACCCAAAAUUACAUCAUCGGCCCGUGCAAUCAAGGCCGUUGAGUAGGCAUAGCUCUCAAUCGUCGGAUAAAAAAGCAGAGAUAAUUUUGUUAUUAAAGGAUAAUAUUAUGGUUUUUAUCAUAAUUAUCUUUUAAUGAUUUAUCUCGACAUCUUCUUAUGAAAGAGGGAAAAUAUAUCUCCAAGCUGGAAACACGCAGCACAAUUCAAAGCGAUUUGGAUGUUUGGCGUGUGGAUGUGGUUUGGAUCGGUUUUAGUUGACAAAUAUGCAUGCAUGUGAUAAGGGUGAAGUAAAAAUGGUGAUAUGCUUUGAAAAUGAGUCUACAUGUGUUGGUGAUAAGAUGGCAGCAACUGCCUUGCUGACAAUUAACAUUGGGUAUUUUAUGCUAAAUCAUGCAUAUUGGUAUAUGCUUUUGUAUUGUGGGCCAGCAUAUGUUUUUUUUUUAUGGAGCCAAAUUCAUUUAACAAUGGAUAUUUGGAACAAUAAGAAGUUUAAGUAGGCAUAGGCCUUUGAGAGUUUGAGUUUCAGUUGGUUUCUACGAAAUCAUCAAGGCCACGCCAAGCGGGAUCAUGCAUAUUUGAAAGAGAAUAUUCCUAUUAUUUUGCAACUUACGACGGCAAUCUUACGGUUAUAGAGGCAAUGACAACAUAAAGGUGGUAUUUCGAAUUCAACACACAAACUGCCAUGCACAAACUCUUGCUCUACGCGAAACCUCUUAACAACCUUGAGAUUUUUAUUUUCCUUUUUCGCCAACACAUCUUCAGUUUGGAUAAAUAGCACUAUGAAGGCAACCGGUGAACAUCUUCACUUUGGAUAAACAAUACUAUAACCGUAGAACCAUUCGACCAUGAAGCACCUUUAGUUUGGAUAAACAACAUUGCUCCGAGACCGAUUGAUUACCUAUCCAAGUCUCGGUCAAGAAGAAUUUUCAAGUCCUUACUAGUAGAGAUCAUCUCAUCAGCCUUCUCGACGAAGUGAGGUGUUACCAGGUUACUACAUUCGGCACCCUGAGAGCCCAAUUUGAUAUUGAACUUCGUAGAACUAAUAGCCUUGUCUUCAGGUUCUAGAACCUGAAGGUCGAGACGUGUUCAUUUCUCGACCGCAGUCGUGAGAUUCAGAAGUCAAUAGUGCGCCCAAUGCAACAUCAACUCAUUUUACUUACCGGUCAAGCUCGACCGUCGAGUUGGCAUGCCCCACACACAACCGAAGGACAUAGUUAGCUUUUUAAUUACUCGGCUUGUGCGCCACGUAUACUUGAUAGUUUUUAAGAUCAACAGAAGGUAAAGAGCAAUAAAAACUGAUUAACGAAUUUAACAAAUUUAAUAGCGCCAAUUGAUCCUCUUGUAUUCUUCUUGAAAUCAAUUUCACAAUAACGAAUAUUAGAAUCAUGAGAUGAUUGAUAAUAAAUUAUUGAAACAGAGAAGAUAUAGCAAAUAAGAUAAGGUAGCUGGCAUUUGAUAGCGAUUUUGCUUGUAAAACUACACUUUUUGUCCAUCCAGAAGAAACCCAUUCUUCUGUUACAUGGCUUAACCGUGACCACACAAAACAGGAGAGCACGGGAAGGGCACCAGAAGUGGAGGGCAAACAAUCCUUGUCCGUGCUUUGUCCAUCGAGAAUAAGAAAUUGUAGGGACUAGGGGCCCAUUGCUCUUUUGAGAUGCAAGUUAAGGGACCUAACAAAGGGAAGUAAAAAGCAUUGGUAGGACAAAACAAGCCGUUUUAGGAAAACAACUUGGGGGAAGAUUCUCUCAUUUCCUAAUCUCUCUCCCAUUUUCUCUCCUUCUAUUUGAACGGUUACGGUUUAGCUACGUCAAUAUCUUAUAUAUAUAUUUUUAGAGACGAUAAGACAAAAAAUAAUAUGUGGGAGAAGGGAAAAGAAGGGGAUGAGAAUAGGAGGGGAGAUAAUUCUCUUCCAAACAACUUGCCUAUACAAUUCGGAUUCUAAGACGGUGGUAUCCCAAACGAAUCUCAUCCGACUAUGUGUUUAAACAUUGCACAUGACACCACGUGAUUGUUAAAACAUUGUCACCGUAGUGUAUUGUACAUAUACAUGAUUGUUUUGAAGUAACAUCAUCAUUGUGACAUAUUCAUGACGUAUGCUUAUCUCGCCGACUAGAGUUUCAGAUUCCUAACCAGGCGGGCAUAAACGUGCUUACAGCCUAAAAGGCCUUAACCUCAUAGAUCUGAAAACACAUUUCUGUCGGAGAAAUUGUCAAGAAUAAGAUACGAACUAGAGUUUACUCCGGGCAAGAUACCUGAGAUUUUUAGCCGUUAAAGUCAUUGAAUUCUUGACCAAUGAUCUAACAGCUAAGUUCACAUUGUAUAACCGAGGCACACUACAGAACGUAGAAAAAAAUAAUGGGGAUUAAAACGCUUCAUUGGGUAGAGGGAUAAGUGACAAAACAAUGAGAAAAAACACAUCAAUUGUAUUAGAAAUGCAACUUGCCAAUGUGCACAACAACAAAUGAACAUAGUUGCUACUCCACCGCAAAACCACCUCUGUGUCUGUCAAAUCUUAUUAAUCUCUGCGAGCAGAGGUAGCAAAACAACCUUGAAAAAAAACCCCCCACAACUUUCCAUAUGUUUUUUUUGACACCCCCGUUAACCCCUCAUAAUCAUAAACUACUAAUGACACAUUCUUCAAAGAACACGAAAAUAUAAAAAUACUAAUAAAAGAAAACCCAAAUGGCGCAAUGCCUGUAUAGAGAGAGAGAGAGAGAGCGAGAGCAGCAGAGGCUUAAUUCAAUUCAAUGUUUUGAUUCGAAGGGGUGAAGACUGAAGAGCCGCCAUUAAAGCUUUAAGCUUGGGGCUUGUCCCACUUGAGUGGCUUGACAACCUCCCAGGUGAAGUCGGGGUCAUCCCUCCCGAAGUGUCCGUAGGCGGCGGUCUUCAAAAACCUUCCAUUGCCACCCCUCUUGAG
This 77754-nucleotide long non-coding RNA is filed under the name Malus domestica (apple). RNAcentral's name for it is "long non-coding RNA (MDOM_LNC011918)". The record is from RNAcentral. Lineage: Eukaryota; Viridiplantae; Streptophyta; Magnoliopsida; Rosales; Rosaceae.